UUAAAUCAUCCAGAUACAACAGCCCAGUUAACUAACUGUAAAACAAAAGAAUUCCCAUCAUAACACUUCUUCAGGUAAACAAGUGGGUACACAACAGCAAUCAAGAGUACAUGCAGAACAUGUAGAAGAAACUCAAAACAAACUGCAAUCACAAUCAUCUCAUCUUCCUUCCUACUCUACCAGCAACACCUUUUCUUUCUUUACACAUGCUUCUCUCUCCUCCCUUCCUUUUCUCUCUUUCCCUCUCCUCUUAUGUUACAAAGGCCCACAGCACUGAUUUCUUCUCAGCUCAGCUCAGCUCCUGAACCCGAAGUUGGUCCACCGCCUGCCCCCGGCACCGUCCUUCUUGGCGCCCCGCGCAGCACCACCGGACCCAAACAGGUUCUCUAGCGACUUCUGCUUCCGGUUCCGGGACCGCCCAGCCUCCUUCAGCAGCUCCGCCAGCCGCUUCUUCUCGUCCUCCACGUCCGGGUUCGCCGUGCCCAGCUUCUCCUCCCGCACCUUCAGCACGUGCUCCAGGAUCUCGAUCGCGUCUUCCACCCUGAUGGAUCAUCAUAAACCAAGUGUCAGGUCAUGGAAAAGAUACAAGUGACGGAUAUGGAUCAUCUAACAGGAAGGACAGGGAACAUGGAUUAAAAUCAUUUUGUAUACAUAACUCACUAGCAUGAAGCGACAUGUGGGCAACUAGAUGAUGGACCACUAAAAUAAAAGAUGCCCUCAGAUGGCAGGAAUGACCAACCGAUAAUUCAGCAAGCAAUCUCUUGGCUGUGUGCAAUUUAAAUUAGGUAGCCCACCCCCACCCACCGGCCCGUUCAACAUUUAACAAAGCAUCAUAACUUACAAGACACAAGUGGAACCCCACAUGUUCAUCUCUUCAGAGAGCAGAACAAAAUCAGCUCCAUUACUCCUACAGCUGUAAACAACGAGUGCUAGAUGCUGCUACAAGCAUAUGUGUAAGCCUGGAGACCCCAAAUGUAUUUUGCACACCGUUAAUUCAACAGAGGCGGUCGUGCUGAUGCCAAGAUCACAGGGGAAAUGCAACUGUGUAUUAAAGUGACAAAGCUGGGUCAUAUAGGACUGACGGAAUAACAAAACCACAAAUGUAGAUGUUUACUUAGGCCUAAAUUCAACAGUCCCAAUAACAGGUCCACUGCAUAUGUUAGUUUGGAAAUCAUGGGUCACUUGCCAUUAAUUUAGACCAAUUUGGGUAACUCAUUAGCUUGCAGCAACAUGUGGGUGUCUAGAUGGUGGACCACUAAGACAGAAUGAUGCCCUCACAUGGAAGUGAAGAUCAACGCAUGAUUCGUCAAGCAAUAUAUCGGUUGUUUGCAAUUAAAUUAAGCAACCUGGCAUAGAAUAAUUAAAUCUAGCCACCCACCAUAUUAAAGAUGUUAGAAACCAUUAGAACUUCAAAGUACAACCUACUGCUCAUGCCUUCAGAUAUAGCACAAUAAAACCAUGGGGCAUGGGCGUUAAUCUACAGAUGUAAACAAUGAGAAGAAGAUACCCUUACAGGCAUAUGGUAACCAUUUAGAGAUCAUACAUGCAUUAUACUACAAGAUAUGAUUAGGUUCCGAAUAAAAUGGCUGGGGGUUGCAGAAGAAUCCAGUUUGUGUUCUCAAGACAUACCUUCCCAUGGCAUCAUAGAUCGCAGCAAGGUUGCUGUACACGCCAAGAGUAUCAGGAUGAGAGGCACCACACUCCUGCUCUAGAACUGCCCGUGCUUCUUCAAACAGCUGUGCAGCCUCAUCAAUCUUGAACAGCUGUACGCAAGCUAGCCCCAUCUGGUUCAGCAGAACACCGAAAAAGGCUGACUUCCUUUCCCCGCUGGCCCUCAAUUUGGAAACCGCGCUCUCGAACGAGUUCCUUGAAUCAGCAUACCUCCCUAUCAUGUAGUACAACACACCCAUUUGUGCUUCGAUCCCAGCAACAGUGCUCCACUGCCCUGGUGAGUCCUCAAGCAACUUCAGUGCCCUCUGAAGAAGCUUUAAGGCCUCAUCAAGAUCUCCAAGCGCCUCAUAGAUGGCAGCAAUCUCCAUUAGGCCUCCAGCAACCUCGUCAGGGGCAGCACCAGGCGCGGGCUUCGCAUAGACACGGAGAGCAUUCUCGCAGUAGGAUUUGGACUCACGGAGCUUCCCUGUGCGGUGAUAGAGAUCAGCAAGGCGGACGAAGACAGAUGCCACUGAAGGGUGGUCGUCACCACGGGCAGACUUGAGGACAGUCAAGGCCUUCUGGUAGGAGAAGACAGACUCGUCGAAACGAGCAAGGGCCAGGUAGGUGUUGCCUAUCGCGACAUCGAUCGUGGCAACCUCGACAUCGCGUCCAUUGGCAACCAUGGUCAUGGAGGCCAGCACAAGGUGCUCCAGGGCGCCGUCAUAGUCACCCUUGGCAUCCAGGAUAAGGGCCAUCAGACGGCGAUCGGAGGCUUCCUCGAGGGAUGCGGGGGCGCUGUGCUCCCGGUGGAUCUCAAGGGCUUUGCGGCACAGCUUCUCUGCCUCAUCGAACUGCAGAGCUUGCACAUGCGCUUCCGCCAGAUACCUGUCAUCGUACAAGAGCAACGCAUUUGUUAUUUUGGUCUUUGUCUGUGAUUUUCGUAGGUGUUUGCUGUGAUCUUAAUGCCAAUUUUUGCAGAGAUCCGCGGCAACAUAAAACUAAAACUAAAGGCAGUGAAAAAAGGUGAGAUUUUUCUUUUGACGAGUAAAACUGGAGGAGGUGGAAGCAACGGAGAGGGAGAUCUAGAUCGAGAAACGGCGGCUGACCUGCAGGUCUCGGCGACGCGGGGGUCGCGGUCGCCGAGCGCGGCCAUCUGGAUCUCGAAGCCCUUGCCGUAGCAGGCGAUGGACUCGUCCAUGCGGCCGAGCAUGGCGUGGGUGUCGCCGAGCUGCAUCCAGCCGGAGAAGGCGGCGAGCGCCCACUCCUCCCCCUUGCGCUCAUCCACCACCUGCUCCUCCUCCGGCUGCGGCACCUCCUCGCCCUCGGCCGCGGGGGCCGGCGGGGUGACGACGGCGACGGCGCGCUCGAGCACGGGGACGGCGUCGGCGUGCCGGCCGAGGCCGCAGUGGAUCGCGGCGGCGACGUGGAGGCUCAUGGCGAGCUCGAGCUCGGCGCCCUCGCCGCGGCGCUCGAGCGCGCGGGCCGCGCGCUCGGCGAACUCGAGCGCGCGCGCCGCGCCGCCGCCCUCGCCGGACACCAUGGCGUCCCGCGCCUGCUUGAGCAGGAAGGGCCCCAGAUCCGGGUUGUCCAGCGCCGCCUCGUCCGUCGCCUCCGGGUGCUGGCCCUGCCCGAGCGACUUCCGCGCCGGCUUGCCGACCGCGCGNNNNNNNNNNNNNNNNNNNNNNNNNNNNNNNNNNNNNNNNNNNNNNNNNNNNNNNNNNNNNNNNNNNNNNNNNNNNNNNNNNNNNNNNNNNNNNNNNNNNNNNNNNNNNNNNNNNNNNNNNNNNNNNNNNNNNNNNNNNNNNNNNNNNNNNNNNNNNNNNNNNNNNNNNNNNNNNNNNNNNNNNNNNNNNNNNNNNNNNNNNNNNNNNNNNNNNNNNNNNNNNNNNNNNNNNNNNNNNNNNNNNNNNNNNNNNNNNNNNNNNNNNNNNNNNNNNNNNNNNNNNNNNNNNNNNNNNNNNNNNNNNNNNNNNNNNNNNNNNNNNNNNNNNNNNNNNNNNNNNNNNNNNNNNNNNNNNNNNNGGACGAGGGGGACGGCGACGGCGGCGCCCGCCUCGGCAGCGGCGAGGAGAGCCGCCGCGGCGCCGGCGCCGCGGCCGGCGGCGACGCGUCCGCUGCGGCGAGCCCCGGCAUGGUCGCGUGGGGAGGGAGGGUGGGUGGGUGGGCGGAGGGUCGGGGAGGGUGGGUGGACUAGAAGAGGAGGCGAGCUGCCAUUUGCGGGGUGGGAUCUGCGCUAGCUGUGCUGGUUCUUGCUUGACAGGGAAGACUUGAAGAGGCCGCACUGCGGUGGCGCCGUGAUGGCAACGGGAUGCUUGCCUGGCGUCAUGAUGGCUCCUCCCCGCCGUCCAAUCCAUGAUCAAGCGACGAUCGACGGCUGCGAUCGAUCGAAACUCUAACUCUGACAUAUGAUGAUCUGGAAAUUCUCAUCUGGCAAAGAUGUUUUUGUUUCGGCUUUGCUGCGUCGAAGGCGAACGGAAAUUUGCGAAAUUGUGGUUGAUUCUCUCGGCUAUCGAUUCUCUUGUUGUGGAAUCGCCUUAUUUGAUUGAUGGCGCUGCUGGGAGAACCAAAGAAGAAAUCUCUGAUAAAUGAAGAUCGGAAAAAACAGGUCGACGUUUCUUAAUAUCUUGAAAAGAACAGACUUUUAGAUGAUUACUUUUUGGUGUUGGCAUUUUUCAUCUUCUAAUAAACGAAAUACUACUGAAUGCUCUUUUUUGGAAUGUUAGGGGCAUAGCUGCCCCUGGUGGAAACCUUUAAUUGUUGUUGCAAUGUUAAGUUUCAGAGUAAUAUUAAGGAUUUUAGAAUUAUUACAAUUUAUGUCUCACCUUUCAAGGGAGGAAAAAGAAGCCUUUAUAUCUGAGUUGUAUAGCAUGUUGAUAGACGUUUCCACUCCCACCCUUAUAGGUGGAGAUUUAAACCUCAUUAGGUGUUCUAGAGAUAAGAGUAAUUGUGUCAUUAACCACAAAUGGGGUGACAAUUUCAAUGGCUGGAUUGAAAUUUUGAGGUUAUUAUAGGUUAAACUUUUCGGUAGGGAUUUACUUAGACCAAUAAUCAGGCUGACUUAAUUAUGUCAACCAUAUAUAGAGUCUUCUAUGACACAUAAUUAGGUAAGAUUUAUCCUUGUUGCUUUUGAGCCUUACCUAGAUGUGGUAGUGAUCAUACCCCCUUUGAUUUGGGACUCUAGGAUUGAUCUCUCCCCUGCACCCAGUAGCUACAUGCUUGAAAAAGUGGUGACUACUGAGAGAAGAUUUUAAAGGCUUGGUGACCAAAAUUUGGAACCAAUUUCUUCCAAAACACCUAUUGACAUAUGGCAAGAGAAAAUUAGAAAGCUUAGAAUCACCAAAGGUCCUAUAAGAGGACUAUGAUAAGUUAGAUAUUAAAGUUGAGUCCUCAGACUUAUCAGAAGUUGAAUUUGCUAGGCUUAAAUUCAUUCACUCGGAGUUGCAAAAAUGGUGGCUCCAAGAAGAAAGAAAAGCCAAACAAGGGUCUAGUGAUAAGGAUAUUCACGUAGUAGCCUCUAUUCAUUCUUUAGAUGGUCCUGCUAGCCCAGUGAUUGAGAUUAAAGGUAUGCUGGGGGUAGCUAGUGGCUACUAUAAAGACCUCUCUGAACUAGAAGAAAGAUAAGGCUUUAAUUCAAAUGUUAAAUUUUUCUCUGCUGGAGAAAAGGUGCAGGUCACUAAAAAUGAGCUUUCAGAGGCACCCUUUUUAAGCUGAAGUUUAAUUAAAGAGCUAUUAUUUCUCUUACUGUGAUAGUGCUCCUCGCCCAGAUGGGAUUCCUUUCUUUCUUUUAUCAUCACUUUUGGGACUUCAACAAAAGUGAUUUAAUGGCUAUGUUUGAUGAUCUCCAUAAUGGAGAAUUAGACAUUUAUAGGCUUAAUUUUGCUAUUCUUACUCUUAUUCCUCACAAGGAAGCUGAAGCCACAUCUAUGAAAAAGUUCAGACCUAUCAACUUGCUUAAUUGUAGUUUCAAAUUUUUUUACCAUAGUUCAUUAUGUCCACUCUAGUAAGGGUAAGUGGUUGGUUCUUAAAUUAGACUAUGAAAAGGCUUUUGACAAAGUGAACGUUGAGUUUCUAGCUGAGCUCUUUAGGAUUAGAGGCCGUUGUGAUAAAUGGCUAUCUUGGAUCCACCAAAUCAUCCAUGGAGGCUCAGUUGGGGUCAAAAUAAACAAUGUUGAGGGGGAUUUCUUGGUCACUUGCAAAGUGCUAAAGCAAGGGGAUUCCAUUUCCCCUCUUUUAUUUGAUCUAGUAGAAGAUGUCCUUACUGGAUGCUUUCUAAAGGUGUUGCUCAUGAUUUGAUCAGAGGCUUUGCACUGAGGUUUGCCAGGAGGGAUUAUAUGCCUUCAAUAUGUUAAUGAUACUAUAUUAUUCCUAGAUAAUGAUUCAAAUCAUGCCCAAAACCUGAAAACAGUCUUGAACUACUUUGAACAAGUUUCUGGCAUGAGAAUCAACUACAACAAAGAGUGAGCUUAUUCCUAUUAGUAUGGAGGAAGAUUACAUCAAGAUCUUCCUAAACCUACUAGAAUGCACUGCAGGUAGUUUUCCCAUUAGAUACCUUGGGAUUCUGCUUCACCAUGACAAGCUUAGAAAGGAGGAUCAACCUCUGACAGAUAAAUUUUUGAAGAGAAUUGUUGGUUGGCAAGGAAGCUCCUCUCAAGUAAAGGCAUGCUCAUACUUAUUCGGGCUUGCCUUGCCAGCAUUCCUAUCUACCUUUUGUCCUUCUUUAAAAUCCCUAAAUAGGCUAUUAAUAUGAUCGAAUCUGAGUGUCACAUUGCCAGUGGAAUGAUUCUGAGGGUCAUAGAGCUCCACCUAGCUAACUGGCCUAUUUAUUCACCUCUCCCCUCGUUGUGCAAUUUUGGCCUAUUUAUUCCAUUUGUAAUGAGCAGUCUAAAUGUAUUAGUGAAGUUUAGGAUGGUCAUCAACUGAAGCUUUCUUUUAGAAGGAUCUUUCAUGAUAAACUCAUGGAACAACAGUAUCAACUAGUGGAGAUAGCUGGCAGUGUUAUAUUCACUGAAGAUACAAAUUCAAUGGUUUGGCAGCUUCAGAGGGGUACAACCAGAUUUUGUUCCUGCUGUUUGGAAUCGUAAAGUUCACCUAACAUCCAUGUAUUUCUUUGGUUGCUUUCUCUUGAUAAGCUAAUGACUAGGGACAAUCUUAGGAAAAGGCACAUAAUCGAAGGUUUAACUGCGUUUUUAGCACUAAAGAUGAAUUUGGUUUUCAUUUGUUGUUUGAUAGUGUUGGAGCUAGAAGUAUUUGGUCAUUUAUUAGAGACCACUUCAAAGUUUCCAUAGGACAUGAUUAUGAAUCUUUAGCAAGAUUCUGGAUUUCUAAUAAUAAGAACUCUGCUUUAAAUAUUGUCUGUUUUCCUGUUGUUUGGUGUUUGCGAAAAUAUAGGAACUUUAUGAUUUUUAACAGCACCAAACGGAUCUCUGUUAUCCAGGUUUUGAGGUUGAUCGCCCUAUCUCUAGAACAAAGUAGAUCGAGGUCGAUGAGCUUUAUAGAAGCCCUAAUGGAAUUCGUUCAGAAACCCCUAAUGAUACUAGGUGGCCGAAGCAGAUGAUGCAAGAUGACCCUGGAAUACCACUCCAUAGUGACUUCUGGCGCAAGUUCAAAAACUUUGAACCUGACGGCCAUGGUUUUAAACCUAUAGUCAAGAAGAAGGAUUCACGAACAAGACCGCCUCGUCCAGCCCAGUGUCCACUCUCGAUAACUGGUGUUCACCACAAUUUAUGUCGGCGCUGCCGUUGAGCAUGCGAUCUAUUGAAGAAGCUCCAUGCUAGGUGCGUUAUUUUCCUUCUCGCACGGGUCUACUCUGGCUGUGUUUGUUUUAGAACCUUUUGGCCCUGCUGGGCAUCGGUGUAUUUUUAUACACCCGUACUUAUUUAUAGGUGUAUAACAUUGGCCACACUUGAUUUUGACCUGCAAAAAGAAACGGCGGGUGGAGAUCUGUAUAUUUUAUAGGGGUACCAGUGGUUGGGGCCCGUCAUUGCGGGCCGCUUGAGAGGAAAUUUUGCGCACCUCACUUUCAUCUACAAAUUAAAAAAACAUUCGCUUCACAUGGACAUCACAUCCAUCUCUUUUUUUUGCGGGUACAAAUUUGUAUUACUCAAGACCUCAAGUCAUUACAGUCCAUUGCAGCCAACUCCAAAGCAUCUGGAGGUCACGAACCAAGCCAAGUCAUGGUUCUACCCUCACCACGAGCAAAAUAUGCUAAACUAUCACUAACUUUAUUUUGGCUACGAUUUACAUGAGUAAUACAAAAAUCACGGAGGGACAAAAGAUAUUUAAUCUCCUUGAUGAUGGACGAGUAAACCGAUCUAUCAAUAUCUGAAGCUUGAAUCAAUUUUACUGCCAUUAGGGAGUCCAUCUCAACCUGCACGGGCAAGUCGCUCCUCUGGAUAGAAAAGGAUAGACCUUCCAUGCAUGCACAUAGCUCAGCUUCGAGCGCGUCCCGACAGUGAAACAAUUGCCUACAGGAAGAGAAAAUGAUGGCACCCCUGUCAUCCCUUAACACCAUACCUGCACCAGCCGAUCCAUCCUCUGCAAAGGAACCGUCAGUAUUUAGCUUGACAAAGCCAAAGCUUGGAGCAGCCCACUUGGGGUCUGUACUUUUGUCCUUAAGAGGUCAAGUUGCUCCAUAUAACAUCAGGGAUUUUCCCUUGGAAGGUUAAGCAACAAGAUUAGAUUUAAUGCCAAUGAGAGAGUCCAGGUAACUCGUCAAAAAUCUGCGUGAAACUUCCAUGGGUGGCGGGGCUUUGUUAUGAACAAUCUCGUUGCGUAUGUGCCACGCCUUCCACAACGUCAUUAGUAGCAUGGACCGUUCAAUAUCCUGCAAUUUGGAGAGCACUUGCAGCAGCCAUUCAUGGCCGGAGGUCUGGAAAGAAGAUAGGUUUGGUAGAGGCCAAACUUCCGACAUGACAUCAUAGAGCACACAUGAUAAUGUACAGCGACAGAGAGCAUGAAAUGAAUCCUCGGUCUCGAUAGAACAUACCGGACACAAGUCAUUAACCUCAAGCCCUCUUUUAUGCUUAUUAUUCCAUGUAGGAAGUGAUUCUGUAGCAGCUCGCCAUGCAAAGUUGCGCACUGAGGGAGGAACAUCGGCGGACCAAAUGAGUUUCCAACAAUCACGACGUCCUUCCGGCCGCGAGUUAGAUCCCGUGGCGCUGUCCCUGAUGGCCUCUUCAAAGCCGAAUUGAUAUGCACUUUUAACAGAGAAUAAGCCAAAUUUACCUGGACCCCAAGCCAAGGUAUCCUCCUCCAAUCUCGGCGAGGCCCUAAUCUUUAAGAUUUCAUACACAUCCACGGGCACAAAAUAUUGCUGCAGUAAACCGGUCUUCCAGGAACCGUUAUCAUUAAGCAAAUCCGAGACAAAGUGAUACCUGCAUCUUCCUCUUGCAGAAAUAGGUUUGUAGGAGUAUGGUCUAGGGAUCCAAUUGUCACGCCAUACACGAAUACUCCUUCCAUUCCCAACUCUCCAAAUCAGACCUUUCUUCAAGAGUUCAAGGCCGUAGCUAAUUACCUACCAGGAGGAAGAAGCGUUACCCGUAAAAACCGUGUCCACAAGAUUACCGUCCGGGUAGUAUCUCGCUUUUAGAAUUUGUGCACAUAGGCUGUCCGGCUUGGAAAUCAGUCUCCAAGCCUGCCUCGCUAAUAAAGCUUGAUUGAAAAUUCUGAAAUCUCUGAAACCAACACCCCCUUUGCACUUUGGUUGCAUCAGAUCAUCCCAAGAUCUCCAGUGCACUUUCCUCUUGCCCUUUUCUGCUCCCCAAUAAUAUGCUCGCACCAUCCUUGUGAGUUCAUCGCACACCGAAAAAGGAAGUUUGAAGACUCCCAUCAUAUAUGUGGGGAGGGCCUGGGCUACAGAUUUGAUCAAUGUCUCCCUCCCAGGCUGGGCUAAGAGCCCAUCCCCCAUUGGAUCAGUCUCUUUGUCAAGCUCAUCUCGAGGUUUUGAAACUUUCCCUUGGACAUAUGCCCAUCCGGCGUUGGAAGCCCAAGGUACUUCUCCUCAAAAACCAAGCUAGUGACAUGAAGAACGUCUCUGACCUCCUGCUGAACAGCAGAAGGGCAAGCUUCGCCGAACAUAAUCGAGCAUUUAUCGAAGUUCAAGCUCUGCCCCGUUGCCUUACCAUACUGAUCCAAAGCUAGCUUCACUUUUUCAGCCCGUGCACGGUUUGCUUUGAAGAAGAGCAUAGUAUCGUCAGCAAACAAAAGAUGUGAAACACCCGGAGCUCUUCUACAUACCUUAACAGGAGUAAUAUCACCAGUAGAAACAUAAUGCUUCAGUAUUGCAGAUAGUCCAUUGGCUACAAACAGGAAUAAGAAGGGAGAAAGUGGAUCGCCCUGCCGAAGCCCACGCGUCGGUGCAAAUGAAUCCAAGAGGGUUCCAUUAAGUUUCACAGAAUAUCUCACCGAUGUGACACACGUCAUUAUCCAGUCCACCCAUCAUUGAGAGAAACCCAGCUUUUGCAUCACUUGCUUCAAGAACUUCCAAUCCACCCUGUCAUAUGCCUUUGAGAGAUCAGGCUUAUAAGCACAAAAGCUCUUCGUGGGGGUCCUUUUCUUGCUUAAUAUGGUGAAUACACUCAAACGCCACAAGAGCAUUGUCAGUGAUCAUACGACCUGGGAUAAAAGCACUCUGCUCCUGGGAGACAAUGUCAUCCAGAAGUGGCCUCAAACGGUUCACCAUGCAUUUAGAGAUGACCUUAUAAAUAACAUUGCAGAGACUAAUAGGCCUAUACUGAGAUAUACGGGUUGGGUUGGCAAUUUGUUGAAUAAGAACAAUGGAUGUGGAAUUUACCCCCUCAGGUAUCACUCCUGUAGCAAAGAAGCCUUUUACCGCUGCAAUCACACUGAGCUGUAAAACAUCCCAAUUCCGCUGAAAAAACCUCGCCGGCAACCCGUCAGGCCCCGGAGCCUUUAGAGGGCCAAUCUGAAACAUGGCAUCGGAAAUCUCCUUAUCACCAAAGGGAGCACACAGGCGAAUAUUAUCCUGUUCUGUUACUUUUGCUUCUAGCAAAUCAAGCACCCAUGUUGCAUCAAGCGACGGAUCAGCAGAAAAUAUACCAUGAAAAUUACCAUUUGCAAGAUUGGCCAUCUCAUCAAAACUUGAGUGCACCACACCCAUACUAUCUGUCAACUCGCGUAUUUUAUUCUUGCGAGCGCGCCACACAGCCUUACUCUGAAAGUACUUCGUAUUUCGGUCCCCUUCCAAGCCAUGUAAUUCUAGACCGUUGUAACCACAUCAUCUCCUCCUGGUACAACAACUCAUUCAUUUUGUCAGUUAUAUUCCUAAUCUCCUGUCUGUCUGCAUUCAUGGACAUAAGUUCCUCCAACUGUGAUCUGGACUUUGCUAAUUCCCGAGAUAUAUUGCCGAAUUUCUUAUUGGCCCAAGCAUUUAGGGUAGCUAGAGUCUUGUGUAAUGCAUUUUGGAGGCUGUCCAGACUGUCCACUUGCCCUACAGAUUCCCAUGCCUCCUUAAUCACUGCCGGCAAGGUUGAAUCUCUCUCUCAAAAGACUUCAUAGCGUCUCGGCUUAGGCCCUUGAGGACCCUGAUCCGGUGCGCCCUUCAAGACCAGAGCAACAUGGUCCGAACAAGGCGAAACCACAUGUUGCACAGAAUAGAAGGGAUAAAGAUUACGCCAUUCAUUAGUGGCUGUAGCUCAAUCAAGGCGGACCUUGACAUUAUUUGUGCCAGCUCGCAGAUUAUCGUAUGUAAAUGGGAUACCCAUGAAUCCCAGAUCAACCAGCCCACAUACUUCGAGCGUAUCACGGAAGGCGACCAUUUGUUGUUCCGGUCUAGGGGUAGCAGAAAGGUGUUCAAAAUCCCAGAGGGCUUCAUUGAAGUCCCCAAUAACCAGCCACGGCGAAUCACACACACUCUUGAGACCUUGAAGCUUAGCCCACAUGAGAUGGCGAUUUUCGACACGUGGUUCACCAUAAACAAAGGUCACUCUCCACCGUACUGCGUCCGGUUGCAUCUUCACCAGAGCAUCAAUGUACUGAUCAUCCUUGUCUAGGACAUCAACCAAACAGGAUUCAUGCCAAGCCACCACUCAAACCAUUGCUAUCAACUCCAUCAAAACCCUUCAAACCAAGGCGGCCCCGAAGCCUCCUCAUCUUUGUAGCUUUCUGUCUAGUCUCGCAAAGAAAAACUAACAUGGGGGGAAUGCGACUGCGAGAGCGUCGCAACNNNNNNNNNNNNNNNNNNNNNNNNNNNNNNNNNNNNNNNNNNNNNNNNNNNNNNNNNNNNNNNNNNNNNNNNNNNNNNNNNNNNNNNNNNNNNNNNNNNNNNNNNNNNNNNNNNNNNNNNNNNNNNNNNNNNNNNNNNNNNNNNNNNNNNNNNNNNNNNNNNNNNNNNNNNNNNNNNNNNNNNNNNNNNNNNNNNNNNNNNNNNNNNNNNNNNNNNNNNNNNNNNNNNNNNNNNNNNNNNNNNNNNNNNNNNNNNNNNNNNNNNNNNNNNNNNNNNNNNNNNNNNNNNNNNNNNNNNNNNNNNNNNNNNNNNNNNNNNNNNNNNNNNNNNNNNNNNNNNNNNNNNNNNNNNNNNNNNNNNNNNNNNNNNNNNNNNNNNNNNNNNNNNNNNNNNNNNNNNNNNNNNNNNNNNNNNNNNNNNNNNNNNNGCGCAGUUCCAACUUAUGAGAUUCAUUGUUCCCGGCGGAACCCCUCCGAGGAGCCCGCCGAUAAGUUCAGAUUCUUUGUUUUGGUAUUCGCUACUGGAACAGAGUUUGCACCAGUUCUCACCCUCUUGGGGUCUUGUUUGCCGGAUGGACUUGGGGGUAUAGCAGCAACAGCACCCACCGGAUUACUCUGGGCAUUCACAGCGGCCUGUGUAAGCUUCUCUGUAUUGUCUCUCUUCCUGCUAUUAUCCGUCUCCUCAAGAUUCGCUCCUGGCCCAGACUUGUUAUCCACUUCCAUAGCCACUAGGGCCGUUGUGUUAGCACUAGGAUCAGCAAGAGGAGUACCAUCCUGAGUUUGCGUAGUAGUCCUGCCACUAGCACGUCCACUCCAGGAUGCGCGCAGCUCCUUAAAUAUAAGCUUUGAUGCAGCAUGAACACCGUCCCCAUGCGCAGUAUGGAGAUGGCCGAUCAUACCGCAGACUGCACACCAGUCCGGAAGUCUUUCAUACUUCACCUUGAAAAUCUGCCUCCUUUUCUUCCUCACAAUGGACACAUGAUUCUUCAGUGGGUUCCUCACAUCAAGAAUUACACGGGCUCUACAGAAAUUACCAGCAAAAUCACCCGAGUCCUUGUCCUCCACAUAGAAAACACCCACUUUCUCUGCUAGUGGUUUCAUAAGUUUCUCAUAGCCCUCUGGAAGGUCAUGGAUUUGAAUCCAGAUCUUAAACGUAUUUAGAUCAAUGGUCGACGGUUUAGUGAAUCCGUCAUACGGGGCGAGCAAGACUGGUUGCCCACGGAACGCCCAUGGCCCUCCUUCCAUCACCUUAAUUAUUCCAAUCUCCCAAACAAGUAAAUUGCAUCGUGUAGAGAUUAUUACCCAACGAGCGAAACUUAACAGUCUGCGCAAGAUCCCAUGCGUUCCUCAUGUUCUUGUAAAACCAGAAGUCCCCAUAUUCAUGGGUAGUAUGUACCUUGCCAAUUGCCAGCCAACGAGGAUCUGGGGUGUUCUCCUCAACCUCGUCCUCGUAGACCAGGUCGUCGAACUCCUCAUCAACAAUCCCAAGUUCCUCCAUCAAACUUGCUAUUUCCUUGUCCUCCAAGUCCUCAGCAUCCGCCGCACCGCUCGCCAUCUGAACCCUAGAUGAGAUUAGCCGCCGGGAACCCUAACCCUAAACGUGCGACAAGGCCGGGUAGCCACACAAGGUAGCCCCUUGAUCAGCCCGAUCGCAGCCAGAGAGGGGAGGGGAAGGCAGCGAGAUGAUCCGAUCGAAGUUUGGUCUCAACGACGGCCAAGGUCGCGCGAGAGGGGAAAGGUUACAUCACAUCCAUCUCAAAAGGAAAAAAGAAAAAAAACCCAAAAAAACUUUUCUCAAAAAAAAAGAAAAAGUCUCACUACCAUUUAAAAAACUCUAAAAUUUUCUCACCGUGACCAACAAGCAUGCGCCACAUGGCAUAACGGGUUGGCCACCAUUCUACCGCGCCUUAAUGCGUUUAAUGGUGCGCUGUGAAACGCCAAUACAAUCUUUUUUUGAAAGAUCCAGCAAAGCUGCUGGCUUUUCAUAUUGAUCAUAGCAGGAAGCAAUGGGUAAACAAAGCAUACAUGGCGAUUGAUCCUAGGAUCAAAAGAGAUAAACUGGAGAGAAAACCAAAGAAACUGGGAAAGAUCACAGAACUAAAAAACAGCCAACGUUGCGCUCCUCAGCCUAUCCCUUCUGGUGGCAAGGUGAAAGGGUGCAGCAGGCAAGAUGCACCCGCCUGACGCCAUAGCUCGAUAGCCCGUCUGAUCGCCUGUAUCACCUCGCACAAAGAGGCCUCGCGCCCUCUGAAAGUGCAGUGUCACGGAUUUGAUCCCCUUUCUGAGUUCAGGUUUGGCGUUUUCCACAAUCUUGAGCACACGAUCCGCCCCGUUCAGGCCGUCACUGUCCGCGUGCAGCUUCAGGGCCUCACAGCCGUUCCAAGCCGACAGGUUGCCCCAUAGUGCCUGAGCGAACGGGCACGACCAAACGCCAAUACAAUCAGGGCCUUUAUGUCGUUGUUUUUACUUUCCGUUGAACUGCUCCCUGCCUAAGUGGGCUAAUGGUGGUUUCAUUUGGUAAUGGAACCGGGUAGAGCCUUCCCGUUAGUCUAAAAAAUAAACAAAAUACUUACCUCGGACCUACAGAUGCUAAUCUAUGAUACACAUAGGUUGAGGCGUUGAGCAGAUAAUACUUAGCGAAGAGGGAAACAUGAUGGCCUAGGAUCCUCUCACGUAAUAUAUUAGUUCCAACUUUGGUCACUAUCAAUUUGAAUAGGGACCAAAGUUGAAACUGACAUGCAUCGAGCACAACAUUCGCAAAAUUGCGCGCCACGGUUUACCGACGUUAAACGUGAUUUGAAAAUGUAAUAAUGGGCACAAAGUCUCGGAGCCCGAAUAAAGUGACAUGACAGCCAGCGAAUGUAGUCCAAGAUUUAGGUGGCAAGUACUUAGUCGCGUAGAGCCUAGACUAGCUACCGAUCGACGACAGUGACAGUGGUUUCAAAUAAAAUGCACGUUCGCUCUUUGUCUGACCCGUGAGCCACUCUGUUGUGUUGGGCAGCUCUUGAGAUCGGUCAUCGAGCUGUGGCUCUCUCGUGUCGUCUGGCUUUGAUGCGUGGUCAUGUCGAGCUGUUGCUGGUGCUCCUUGUCUGACUGCUAUAAUGGACUAGCCCAUCGGUUGGUUUGCUUGCUCUCAUCAACCACGCAUGCACGCCCUCCAGUACCUACAUAAUAUAGCCAUGAAGAGAGGUUAUUAGCUGCUGCUACCACUAGCCUAAUAAUGCCGGAUUAUCAUGCGCCCACGCGCCCGGGCUCCUUCUGCGGCUGUCAAUUUGACUAGUGCUCCGGAAGGACUCCGUCCAUAUUAUCAAGCACAUAAAUUACAAAGAAGAGAUACAGCCAUAUGAAGCACGAUUGUUCUUGGCGGUAGUGGCAACAAAUUAGACCCCUGCCCGCGUAAUCUGGACCUUUAAACAAAAGUACAAAAGUGAUUGAUACAUUCCGUCUUGACUAAAAGUUCAGUACUGUGUCGGCAGGGAAUGCAUGCGUUGACCGCGACGCUACGGAGUGCUUGGCCGAUCCGAAGCGAAACGCUAGGCUGGCUGGGAUCACAAUGGUAGGAUAUUUCGAGAUUGAGAUGCUGCAACCACCAUCAAGAUUGAUCGCUCCAAAUAAUGGAGUGUCCUUUUUUUUGAGAAAACUUCCAAUCUAUUCGUCUUCAAUCAUGGCAAUACAAAGAACACAAAAAAUAAUAAAAAUUACAUCCAGAUUCGUAGACCACCCAGCGACGACUACAAACACUGAAGCAAACCGAAGGCGCGCCACUGUCAUCGCCCCUCCCUCGCCGGAGCCAGGCAAAACUUGCUGUAGUAGACAGUCAGGAAGUCAUCGUGCUAAGGUACCAUAGGACCAGCGCAGCAGAACAACAACCGCCGCUGAUAAAGAGUAGUGUAGAUUGGAAGGAUCCAACUUGAAGAAACACAAAUGUAGACGAACUACGACCAGAUUCGAACAAAUCCACCAAGGACAGAUCCGUCGGAGACACACCUCCACACGCCCAUCGACAAUGGUAGACAUAGGAAGCCGCCGCCGUCUCGUCUUCUUGAGUAGGACACAAACACUAACAAAAGUUGAAGAAAUAUCUAAAACCAGAGCCCUCCCGCCGGUAAGAGCCGGGAUCCACCGCGCCGCCAUGGCCCUAAGGCCACCGGAGACAAGGCGGACUGACGGUGGCACCGACACGAGGCAGAGAAACCCUAAAUAAUAUAUACUACCACUCCCAAAGCCGUGAUAGCAUAAGCUACCUCCAUGGCACACACGCGCGCACCCUGUCGUAAUGUAAACCAGUGGCAUAUCAUGCGUCCAUCCUCUAUUGGAUAGAACAUUCUGCAGCCAGUUAAUUGUAUAGUAUACCCCUGAAAAAAAACUGUAGAGUGUAGCCAAAGAAAAGAUGAUGAUACCCGUAAUAUAUAGUACUCCUGCCAAGAGUAUUCCUCAUCAUCGUGCAUACUAUUUGCCACCAGGGCGCCAGUAAUUUUAGUUGCAAAUUUAUCAUUAGUGUGGCCAUUACCUGCAAAGCUUACGCGACGUCAGCAAGACAGUACUUCAUUGCUCCUUCUCUUUCCUGCCCGCAAGCUUGGCAAGAUAGCACAAAAUUCUCCUUAGGGCAUGGCCAUCGCUCCACUCUAGACAGAUGCCCCAGCUAUCCACGUCGGAUUCUACAGUCCAGCUCAUAUGAACGUGCUGCUUGCAGACCAAAGCGGGCUCCUGCAGAAGAACCCAUCUCUUGGCUGACAAAAACGAGAGAGAGGAAAAAGCAAGAGAAAGUGACCAGGAUGACCUUGCUCGUCCCCCGUGCUGCUAGCAUUGAGUAAUCAAUGUCACAACGGUGGUCUCGUCUUCUCUAGCUGAGAUGGAGUGCACUGGGGCAGCACCUGGUGCUGCUACCAUUGCUCAUGCCCUUAAUUUGUCUAAGUUGUUGCAGCAAGGAGGAAAUUAUGACAUGAUCAAGAUCUACAUCAAGCAAGGAUCAUUUCCAUAUAGAGAAGGCCAUUGGAGGAUUUAACAGAAGAGCAGCUGAGCACUGGUACGAGCACCCUCGCUCGUACUGAUGCUUGUGCCAGGUGGGCCCCACUUUGUCACGUCCAACCAAACAACAUUCCUGAAGGGGCCCGAGCCAAAUCUAUCUGCGGGGCUUCCAAAACCCCAACGCGGAGGCUCUACAACUAUAAAAGGGCGAAGGAAGAUACCGCAGUCGUCUCUUCGACAUGCCAGACAGUUUGCCACCUGCAUUCGCCAAGUUCGAUCCCCACAACCACCAUCAUAGCCUUCACAUAACCAUAGCCCACUCCACAAUAUAUUAAACUUGUACUCCGUUGUUUUCAUCGCGAUCAACGAGAUUGUAAGACGGUUUUAAAUCAUUCACCUUGCACAAGCAUGUGUAAUAUCUCUUUUGCAUGAUUUGUCGCUAUGUGUGAGUAAUGCCCUCAGGCUAAGGCGGAGGUGUAGUGGGACAUCCCACCUACAUGCUGGAGAUGGGACCCAUGGGGUGUUCAUCCUAUAUUAUCUUUGUACUGCGAUUUGUUAUUUCUUACUAGAGCCUGAUGUGGAAGGCUAAUGUGCCUCAAAAUAUCAGUGUUUUUGCGUGGCGACUAACGUCAAAUAGUCUGCUAUACAAGUUAAUAGGCUGAAACAUCAUCAGACUGACACUGGUAAGUACUCUAUCCGAGGUAAUGCAGAUGAGCAUGGAUUUCAUGCCAUUGUGUUCUGUCCGAAGGUGUGUGCUUUGUCUUUUGAUCCUACAGAAGUUUGAAAUCUUCGAUGGAGGAUUUAUUUCAUCAAGUCUAGUCUGGACUGGACUGGACUGGUUGUUGGUUUUCUUGACUGGGUAUCUCUGUGCGAUCAAAGCUUCUUUUUUGAGAGCUUGGCACCAUAGGAACGACACAUUCUUUGGUGAGGGGAGGCCGCUCAUUCAAGAUUUUGUUAUUAAUUUUGUCAGCAAUUGGUCCUUCUUCUCCGGAAGCCAAAAUGUGUCCUCCUAUCUGCAUGAUGGGAAGGAAAAAUAUUUGCUUCUUACGCAAUAGGUUAAUGUUUCACAUGCUUAAGUGCAUGCUUUGUGAGAGCCUUCGUCGUUUAAGUGUAUAAAGGUUAAUGUGGAUGAUAGCUAUGUUGAUAAUUGUGGGUCAACUAGUGUAGAGAUUGUUGCGAGGGGUUCUAAAGGCGAGAUCCUCAUAUCUUCUUGGAUCUUAAUCCUAUAUGCUCAAGUGUGGACGAGGGUGAGCUUCAUGCGUGUCUUGUGAGUCUUUACAUCGAUUUCACUCUUCACCACCCCAUAAUUUUGAAAACGGAUUGCUCUUUAUGCACUCUUUCUUUAUAACCACUCUUUGGACAUGUAUUGCUCUUGUGAAGUUGAAGAAGAGCCUCUUGCGGUCGUGCAACUUUUACAGAGCUUUGCCCUAAUAAAGGUUGAAAAGAAGCUAACAAAGUGGCUUAUGAGAUUGCUAAGGUUUGCUUUGUUACUUAUUCUGAUGGUUGUUAGUGGGUGACAUCAUGUCUUGUGUGACAACUUUGGAAUAUUAAUAAACAAACAUGAAUUAGGAGUAUAUCAUAGACAAAAUUUCCUUUUUUGUAUGAAACAUUAAUAUAAAUCUAUGUUGAUUUAAUAACACUGUCAUUAAAAGUUCACUAAUUACCAAACAAAAUUAUUAUUUUAAUAAAAAAGAUAUAAAUUUGCAUUACUUAUUUCUUGAAAAUAUUUAAUCUUAAUAUUUGCUAAAUUUAAUUAACCUAUUACUAAAAUCCAAUAAAUACACAAUUAUGUUUUCCCUAUCAAUUGUUGUUUUAAUCAACGGAUCUGACAAUCUUCCUUAGUGGUAAUUAUAUUGGCUUUCGCGACCUUGAAUAUUCCAAUUUUAACAUAAAUAAUAUUUUUAUCAAACUUUUUUACUUGUGACAUUUUUCAUCAAAGCAAAUCUUAGGUGAUAACUAGCUACAUUAUAAUGCUAUUAAAUUUUAACUAUAGUGUUUCUCUCUUAUACUGUUAUAUAACGUCUGAUCGAGAAAAUGCAUCUGGCAUUUGCUAAGUUACAAAUCUUUCUAACAAAAGUGAUAUUAUUAUCAUUUGGUAUAUUUCCUGUAAGCAAGAUCAAAGAAAAUCUCCUUAUAUGCAAAAUUUAAAAAGGAUGUAAUCAUUGCUUCCAAAGAUCAAUUUNNNNNNNNNNNNNNNNNNNNNNNNNNNNNNNNNNNNNNNNNNNNNNNNNNNNNNNNNNNNNNNNNNNNNNNNNNNNNNNNNNNNNNNNNNNNNNNNNNNNNNNNNNNNNNNNNNNNNNNNNNNNNNNNNNNNNNNNNNNNNNNNNNNNNNNNNNNNNNNNNNNNNNNNNNNNNNNNNNNNNNNNNNNNNNNNNNNNNNNNNNNNNNNNNNNNNNNNNNNNNNNNNNNNNNNNNNNNNNNNNGUGUUCAAGUUCAUAUAUAGGGUAACGUUAUUCUACACCCCUAGUAAUGCUAUAUACAAAAUCUAGUAAAACGGUGUAUAAAAUGUAGUAAUCCAGAAAAUAAUUUUUUACUACACAAGUUUGUAAUUUAGUACAUUUUUUUACGAAAAUUACUAUAUGUUGCAUAGUGUGUUACCAUAUUUUGUAUGUACCCCUACUGGGGUGUAGAAUAAGCUAUUCUACACUCACGCUUAGUUUAGCGUUACUAUAUAUAUGUUACCCUAUAUAUAUAUGUCCUCCAAUAUCUCAAUAGAGAGAUCUUAGCGUACAUCUAAGAUAUUUUGAUAGUGGUUUCUAGUUUAUGAUUACAUAUAUGCAAAUAGGAAAGUAUAUUGUAUAUUUGAUGUCUAGACGAGGAGCUUCUCAACAAAUUGGUAUGUUGACUUCGCAGACUUCUUUAGUCAAAUGUGUCUUACAUGUUAGUCCCUAUGUUCCAAAAUAUAGUGCAUAUAGAUUUUUUAAAAAGUUAAACCUUACAAAUGUUGACAAACUUUUUAGAGAAAAACAUUUACAUCUAGAAUGCCAAACAUAUAUCAUUAGAUUCAACAUAAGAUGUAGCUUCAUAUUCUAUAUAUUUCAUAUUAUAGAUAUAAUAAACUUAGUCAAAGUUUGCAAAGUCUGACUUUUCAAGAAAUCUAUACGCACUACAUCAUGGAACAGAGUGAGUACAACACAAUAGUUAGUUCAUAGCUUGUAUGUGCUUGAUGAAUAUCGAAAUGCCAAAAAGAUAUAAGAGCAUAAAUUCAGAGGAUUGCAUAGGGAGUGUGGAUGUACAAGCCUGGUACCUGGCUACAAGUCCUAGUGGACAUGGAUUUGGUUUUUGGAACUCCUUGCAUUCCUUAAAAGAAAUAGUAAUAGGUAUCGUUUUUCCCAGACUAGAUCAUUGAUGUCGUGCGUUGCUGCGCUUGUCCAUCUUGGCGAUAGAAUGAUAGUAAUUUACAACAAAGAAUAUCAUACACGAGCAUUAUGCAUACAUUAUCAACUAUUCAAAUUAUGAAGUCUUGAGAAUUUGGUUGUGCUUCUAGCCAACGUUGUUCGUGCAUAGAUUACUCACAACUUCCAAAGUCUGUGAUACCAAAAAGCAUACAUGAAUCAGAGUCUGAUCUUUCAUUCUAGAGCUAGCACAUGCUAGAAAGAUCCACGAGUACUUAGUAAAGAAUAAACCGGUCAUCAAACCAUCAAUUGACUCACAACUGUUAUGUAAUAGAAGCUACAUGCAGGUUGUGCACACCAUCUCCUAUUGUUCCUCUUGUACGUUGAAGUAUGCGGAUGGAACAAAUAUGUUAGAAAAACUAUUUAGUGUCAAAUGAUUCUGUUAAUCAACACACCACACUUAUCAAGCUGUAUAAGCUUCAUAUAUAGCGUCAAGUAAACCGCAAGAUGUUAACUUAAAAUAAGAUGCACAAAUAAUAAUUACUUGUCAACAUCGGAUUCUUCGAAUGUGUCAAUAAACUUUUGACAAAGAGAAGUAAAAAUAUGGAACAUUUGAAAAAACACCGGUUUUCCAAAUGCGUAUGGAGUUGUGUGCGUUUCGAUCUAGAUAGUCCAUACUUCUAUGCAAACAUAUUAAAGAAGCUUAUUAGUAACAUGUUUACAAAAAAAGAAGCUUAGUAACCUGAAAAAAUAUUGUCCAUAAAAAAACCUGUAAAAAUGACAACCAGGUAUACACAAGUCUUCUCUUUCUCUCCUGUAACGGGCUGUUGUUUCUGAUCUGAAAUGCACGCAACGUACAGUGAGUGAUAUGCAUCGUCAUGUCGAGCUCUUUUUUAGUGCUCCUUGUCUGACGCUAGUUGCUUGCUUUCCCGUCGAAAGUACCUUCCUACACAGCUCAUAUGCUCCUUUUUUUCUUGCAGGUGAACAGUAAAAUAAAUAAAAUAGAAAAACAUUUCAAGAUAGGAUAAAAUAAAUAAAAUAUGCUCCCCUCAUAUACUCCUGCUGUGAACAGUAAAUAAAUAAAAUAGGAAAACAUUUCAAAAAAUUAUAAAAAGUAAUUGUCGCAUACUUUAAGAAAUAGUUGUUGUGCAUGCAAAAUUCCAUCAGGAAAUCCCAUUGUUGGAAGUCGUGGCAAAAACAGAAAAACCAAAAUUACAGCUCCAAAAUGCGUUUGAAAGUAACAUUUUUCAGCAUCGAUUUUGUUUUUUUACCACACCUUUCACCAAUAUCAUUUCGUGAUGAAAUUUUGCAUGCACAACAAAUAUUUCUUAAAGUUUGCCAUUAACAUUUCAGAAUUUUUUAAAAUGUUUUUCUAUUUUAGUGUCCACGUCCCUUUCCCGUGCGUACGUACGUGAGUGAUUGCUUGCUUGCUCCCCUCAAUUAAGCACGCACCACCUCGAUUGUACAUAGCCAGCAAGAUUAUUAUAGGUGCCAGUAGCCUAAUAGUGGCGGUUACAUUUGCAGCACUACAUCUCUGGACUAAAAAAAAGCUCACUGUGUGUCGGCAUUGACAUCAACGUAGUUAAGCGCUCAACCUCUGAAACGUUGUGUUGGUUAUUUUGAGAUCGGGAUACUCCAAUCACCGUAAGAUCCAUGCAAACAGUGGAGCAUAUAUGUACAUCAUAUGCGGAUAUUCUCUUUUGCUCCUAGGAGCAAAAAAGCAAAAAAGCCGCGUCCCAUCAUAUGGAAUUAUACAUGGAUCCUCCAGGUUGUUACACUUGCCCCUGGCACGCACCGAACACACCCUGUCUUUUUUUUAUGCGAGAGAAAUUUCCAAUCUAGUCAUCAAUCAUGACAGUACAAAAAACACAAGAGUUAAUAAAAAUUACAACCAGGUUUAUGGACAACCUAGCGACGACUACAAGCACUGGAGCGAGCAGAAGGCGCGCCGCCGUCAUCGCCCUUCCAUCAUCGAUAUCACGUACAGUACUUUUCCUACAAGAAAUUAAAUAUUCCGUUGUUGAUCGCAUGGAUAUUAUACGACAUGUCUGCUUGGAACCUUCCACAGCAGCAGCCAGCGGCUAGCGAGAAGAAAAAGAUAGCUGCAGUUGCUUGCGUCGUAUUACUCGAGCGGACUUUGUUUUUCUACCGACCUCCGAGGCCAUCAUUGUUACUACCCUGCUAAGCUGUAUGUAUGCCAUGCAGUACGAGUACCAUAACAAAUACACUGGAUAUUUUAAGUGUUUAUGCAUGAUUUUAGAAAAUAUUCAUUUAUUUAAAAGAAGUGUUCAACUAUUCAAAAAAAGUUCAUGUAGCUUAUUAAAAUGUUUUCUUUAAAAAAUAUUCUUUUUUUAACACAGUACAGACGCAAGCGCUCAUAUACACGCACAUACAUUCACCCCUAUGAACGCACACACGCACACCCUACCCCUAUGAGCACCUUCGAAAGACUGAGCCGUCAUAUCAUCUUGAAAUUUACGAAGUCACCGUAGGCACCUCGUCGUCGACGGGAACGUCUCCUCCCACUGAAUGCGCAUCGCCGGAAAUCCUGAAUAAAUCCAGGAAUAAAUGCGAGCAACACGACUUGAACCCUGGUGGGCUGGGGAUAUCACAGUCCCUCUAACCAUCCAACCACAGGUUGGUUCGCAAAAAAAUAUAUUCUUUUAUAGAAAUGGAAAAUGGUAAAAAUAAAAAUUAAGACAAAAAGGUAAAAUAAAACAAAAAAAGGAAGGAAAAAAUAUCGGGACAAAAAUCACUGAAACCCCCCUAAGCACGCCCUCCCACCGCAUACAGCAGGGCCUAACCCACGCCCGAGGGCUGGCGGGCAAUCCCCUAAAACCCUAAACUCCCUGGUGCGUCGAUGGUUUGGGGUCGAGUGGGCCCAUGCUGUCAAUGUAUGCUCGCAGGGGCUUGGGCCUUUUUGUUUUUAUCGCGUGCUUUACAUAUCGCUCCUUCCUCAUUAGGUGAUGGGGCUGCAUGAUUUCCGGAGUAAUGGGGUGUGUUGAGUUUGGUGCGGUUCCGAGCGGGGCGGCAGUUGCCGCAAUCAUGUGGGGCCUUGGAUUGGGAGCAGACAGUGCGAUGCCGCUUCUCUGCGUUCUCUGCCUCCUCCUCGAGUGUCCGCGUCGCCUUCGUCUGCCUUGUUGUGUGCCCAACGCUGCAGUCUUUUCGAGGAGGGGUACGCGGGGUGCGCCUUCGGUCUGCACUUUGCAUCGUUUACGUCCGAUCUACUAUAUGAUUGGCUCCUUUUCCUCACUUUACGUAUUUCCCAUUUGUUGUUGCCAUGUGCGCUUGUUGCUACCAGGGUGUUGCGGAUUUGGCAUUGGAUUGAAAUGGCUAAUGUUCGAUUUUUGCUUUGUGGUUGGGCGGUUUUGACUUUUCCAAUGUGAUGUCAUGCAUGUUGCUGCUAUAGGAGUGUGAGUGGUCGGUUCGGGUUGUACCAUGUGUUUGCAUUGUUGUUUAUCAAAUUAACUCUAAUGUGUAUUUAUGGUCAGACGGGUUUAGUGUUAGGUUUGGUUAACAAAUGUAGAUUUUUGUUGAGGUGAUGUUCAUGGAGAAAAAAGUAUGGGCUUGACCAUUAGGGUUUUUUGAUGUGAUAGACAAAGCUACAAGCUUAUGUUCCUAUCAUAAAAAAAAGUUAAUUUGUAAGUGCUAUACUUAGAAAUGAUCAAGAUUUAGGAUUAGUGAUAUGAGAAGAGUUUAGUUUAUUUAUUGUGUUUUGUUGUGAUUAACGAAGAUGAGAUGAGAUCAAAGUAUUGUAAUGUUUUGACAUAUAUUUGUUCAUUACAUCUCUAGAUUGUUGAGCUACUAUUACUGUUUAACCUUCUGUAUAGCGCAAAAUUCAUGCUUAUAACGAACGCUUCAUCUCAAGAGUUGGUGACAUUAGUUUACUACUAGAUUGCUAGCUUUCUUGGUAUGCUUCGUUGGCAAUUUGUGACAGGAUUCGAAUCUUGUUUGAGUCUGCGACAAACUAAGUUUGACACAGAUUUGAGGUGUGCAUGAAACUUUUGUGUUUUAAUGUAUAAUCACUCUAGUUCUGUGCCUUUGCAGUCACCUUUGCACCAAUUUAAUUGUGUUUUAUCAUAUAAUGUAGAUAAUUCAUUGAUUAAUUCGCAGUGAUGUUAUAAGGAGAGGAAGUUGGACCUUUGUGAAGAAAGUAUAUUUUCAUAACCCUAGAAAAAAAAUGUUCGAAUUUUUUUGCACAGAGACACUGGGCCAGAACGGGUACCUAGGAGAGGCCUAAGGGGCCUAGCUGCCCAACAUACAAUGGCGCCUAGGGGGCUCGGGUGACUAUCUGGUGCUACGAGAGCACCUCACAUUAGGUGCUCCCAAUUUUCAAAAUGUACAUUUAAAUGUUUUUUAAAAAAAUGAUUUUUUUGUGGAUGUUAGCAUCACAUGAAUGUACAAUCCCUAAAAAUUUCAAAUCAAAAUAUUAAAUACACAUUGAGAAACAAAAAAGACAAAUCCAGGAUGAAUGUUUUGUGGGAAAACCCCUGAACAUUCCCGAAAUGACACUUUGGUCCACACCCCGUGAUGCUGCCCAUUCGAUCUCAGAUUGACGACCGAGGUCGCGUGGGAGCACCUAAUGUGAGGUGCUUCCGUAGCACCAGAAAUUCUCCCUAGGGGCUCCUAGGGCCAUGUGUAAAAUACUUUUGCAACUUGUGAUUGAUGCAUGUCCAUAUUCAUUUAUUAUCGAUCUCUCACUUUUAAAUAUGAUGUCAUGUUUGUCCAGUUUGAGUUUCGACUGAGGACAAGCAAGGUUUAAGAUUUGGGGAGCUGGUACAACAUUUGUAUCACUAUUUAGGAGGAUAAACACUCUUCUUUUGUGCCUUUGCAAUCACCUUUGAAUCAAUUUACUAGUGGUUUAUUACAUAAUGCAGAUAAGUCAUGGAUUAGUUCCUAGUCAUGCUGUCAUGGAAGGAAUUUGGACCGUUGUGAACAAAGUAUAUUUUGGGACUGAAGAAAAAUAAAAACAAUUGUUCGGAAGUUCUUGCACUAGAUGAGCCAAUGGGCUGGAAGGGUGUACUUGGGCUUGCAAUUUUGGACUUGGUUUUUAAUGAGCAUGUACAGAGUCUAGGUUUCCGUUUUGGGGAGAUUUUGAUGGCAUGGGUUCAUUAGUUUCAGACCUAUCUUAGUCUUAAUUAGAUAUGUAUUACUAUGAUGGGUAAGAUUUGUAGAUGAUAUUUAACCCAAUUAUUUAUUACUAUGAUGGGUAAGAUUGUGAUAUGUUAAUUAUGUAUUUUAAAAGUACUAAACAGGUAUAAAAUGUUACUGGUUUUUAGGAAAAAUUUAAAACAUGCAUGAAAAAUAGGCAUCAAAAUAUAAAUUUCAAAAUAUGUUAAUUAUGUAUUUGCAGAAUGUUAAACGUGUAUAUAAAAUAUUCAUGAUUAUAUGAAAAAUGCAUAAAUAAAAAGUAGACAUUAAAAAAGAUGUUGGAAACAAUAUUAAUCAUGUAUAUAGAAAAAUGUUAGUUGUGUAUAGGAAAAUGUCCCUCCAGUAUAUGAAAAAUGCACAUUGUGAGUGAAAAAAAAAUAUGUAUGUGUUAAAAAAACUGAAUUAAAUAGUAAAAAAAUAUUGUAAACCGGUAAGAAAGAAAGAAAACGUACAAAAGAACACUGAAAACAAAAAGGAAACCGAAUAAAGAAAAACNNNNNNNNNNNNNNNNNNNNNNNNNNNNNNNNNNNNNNNNNNNNNNNNNNNNNNNNNNNNNNNNNNNNNNNNNNNNNNNNNNNNNNNNNNNNNNNNNNNNNNNNNNNNNNNNNNNNNNNNNNNNNNNNNNNNNNNNNNNNNNNNNNNNNNNNNNNNNNNNNNNNNNNNNNNNNNNNNNNNNNNNNNNNNNNNNNNNNNNNNNNNNNNNNNNNNNNNNNNNNNNNNNNNNNNNNNNNNNNNNNNNNNNNNNNNNNNNNNNNNNNNNNNNNNNNNNNNNNNNNNNNNNNNNNNNNNNNNNNNNNNNNNNNNNNNNNNNNNNNNNNNNNNNNNNNNNNNNNNNNNNNNNNNNNNNNNNNNNNNNNNNNNNNNNNNNNNNNNNNNNNNNNNNNNNNNNNNNNNNNNNNNNNNNNNNNNNNNNNNNNNNNNNNNNNNNNNNNNNNNNNNNNNNNNNNNNNNNNNNNNNNNNNNNNNNNNNNNNNNNNNNNNNNNNNNNNNNNNNNNNNNNNNNNNNNNNNNNNNNNNNNNNNNNNNNNNNNNNNNNNNNNNNNNNNNNNNNNNNNNNNNNNNNNNNNNNNNNNNNNNNNNNNNNNNNNNNNNNNNNNNNNNNNNNNNNNNNNNNNNNNNNNNNNNNCUUGUGCAUGAAAAAAAAAUAGACACAUGUUGAAUAUAAGGGAAAAAAUAGAAAACAAAACAUUGUAAACCAAUAAGGAAAUAAUAAAGCCGAAAAAACUGAAAAAAGACCAUAGAAAACUAAAGAAAUAAGAAGAUGAAAAUAAUAAAUAAAAUGAUAAACUGGAAAGUGAGGAAAAAAAAAGAGAAAACCCAAGAAAAAAAAAUGUCUACAAGUGUGGAAAACCGAAAAAAACACAAUAGAAGAAAACCUAGCACUACAGUCUUUGGUCGGCCUGAUGCCAUCCGCACGUAGGUGUUUUCUAAUACGGAUGUGUAUGGGAAAGACAUAGGAUUUGCGCCAAUGUCCAUUGUUAUCUCUUUUAGGAUACCGGCAUUGGGCCAUUUUUAAAAACAAAAACAAAAAAGGCUUUGCAUCUUUUCGUUCUUUAUCUUGAAAAGUGGAUGGUUUAGUGAUGGUGGGCCACAACAGGCUAGGAACGAAGCACAUCGAGUCACCAGUUGGCUCAAAAGAAUUAAAUGGAAGAUGGAUAUCUUUCAAAAAAAUGGAAGAUGGAAUUAAUGAAUACCUCAAAACAAGAGAAGGAUUAGUUGAUGAAUACUUACAUGCUUGUUGCUUACGGAGGUGGAAAACAUUGCCGAAACGGGCUUAACCUAGCGAACUAAUAUCUCAAAAGAGAAAAACCGAGCAAACUAAGCAUGGUGGCAGAGAGUCAAAAGGGGCACACACAUGACCAAUGGCAAGCUAGCAACAUACGCACCCACCACAGCGAUAGCGACGACACAUGUGGUACUCUCGAUUCCAUAUUAUGAAUGGACAUUCGAUUGUUCUAUCAACUUUAUUUAGUGAUUAUUUUUAGAUGCCUAAAUAUUGCCUUAAUAUGUUUGUAUUGAUGACUGUUGCCACAGGCAUUCCAGCACCAGACCAACGUGGACGUGCCGAUAGGGACAACACAACAUCCAUCGACCGACCCAACGACAGGAUUUCAGAAAAGGCAUGUCUUUGAUUCUCAUUCUAUUGAUGCCAUCCUCAGUGACUUCAUACAUAUGAAUAUAGUUGAAUUUGUUAAGAGCCCCUAUAUUCUUGGGCCCUCAAAAUCUCAGCAACUGGAGGAAGAGAUUGCAUCAACUGGGAGGAAUCGUAUGGGAUGAGCGUGUUGCCUUUUCUUUCUGUACUUACCAAUCCGUGUGCUGUUUCUUUCUCCUUUUUCGCUCUCCAUCCAUGUACAAUCACGUGAUACCACGUGAACAAGCCCAUUGGUCGCCCCUUUUCUUUAUUGUACUUGUGUCAUUGUUACACUGUAAACGGUACAUAUGUUAUUAUAAUAGGUUCAUAAGCGGAAAUUGGUUUUGGAGGCCUUCAAAUGCAAAAUUCGAAAUUCGUGAAAAUUCAUACUUUCACAUUUAAAAAAAUUCUGACAAAAGUACAGAUAUAGAUGAAGGCAUAAUGCACAAGUGUGUAAAUUUUUGGCAUGAAAUACGUUAAAAUAAGGGUCGUGAAAAAAACAACAAAUCUAUGGCUUUCUAAAACAUAAUACUAUUCAUCUUUUACACCAUGAAUUUGUCUUUUUUGUACAGGUCGCAUUUCAACGUAUUUCAUCCUGAAAUUUUAUACACACACACACACCUCACAUCCUUAUUUAGUUGUACAAUUUUUUGCAGAUAUUUUUGAAACAAAAAAUAUUGAAAUUUGAAUUUUUUGAAAAAUCUGCCUCCAUGGAGGCCGAGAUCCAAAACGCCGUACUCGUUUAUCAGGGAUUAAUUACACCAUCAAUAUAACAUGUAGUCUCUGAGAAUCCAACAUAAACUAUGAGCCGCUGAGAGAUCUAUGCGCGGUUCAAAUCCAAAGUAUUAGCAGCAUCUUGCUUUUCUGUGGCCCAUAGGAACCCAACGGAUGUGGCCAUCGAACGGCUUACUGACACUGAAACUUCCAACUAUGUUCUACUUCUAUGGUUCCUCUGUUCUAUGGCUGGAGGCGCCGUGAUUCCCGGGUCCCUGCACUACCCCAUUACAAGGACACCACCGCUGAGCUGGCCAGACCCACCUUAGCCGAUGCAGGGAGAUUUUUUCUUCGCAGAAACACCCCAAGGGUAAUUUAUUUCGGAGAUGUGUUAAGAACAAUACAAGCAACAAUUACACAACAAGGACCCUGCAGAAAAAAGAAAAGACAGAAAGUCACACAGAGAGGUCCAACUAAAAAGCAGUCAUCAUCUUCACCCUAGCCUUCCCUUCCAACUCCGGCCAAUCAACGGUGGCAGGAAGGCAACAACUCCACUGCCACCAAGCCUGGCAGGAAGAGAUGUCGUGGCGAUGACAAUAGGGAUGGAGGACAGAAACCUCACCAUGUACGGCUAUUGGCGUCGCCUCGCCGAUCGCCCAGGGGUCAAAAAAUCUCAUCAGAUUACCAGAUCUGCUAGCACCAUGAGCCGCCAACACCUCGACGAAGCCAACCACUGCAUAAAAAAGGGUAAGAGCAGUGACAAGUUUAUUUCCCCUCAGACAACAUCUCCCUCGCCACAUCAUUGCCAGCUGAAAACCUCAGACCACCCCCCUAUAUACCCCAAGGCCGAGAUCCAGGGUUCCCCCAACCACAUGGCGAUGAACCAACCGACAGAGGGGGAGGGAAACACCAGAAUCACGAGGGGGCGCGGUGGCUGCAAGCGGCUUCCAGAGUUCUCCAUUCUAUAAUACCAGGAAGGGAAAGUAGUUGAUACAUAGAGCUAAGGGCAUCUCCAUCGCGGAACCUCAAAACGCUCGCCAUCCAAUGUAGUAAAUCAUCAGUCCAUGGACGCGUCGGGUUAUCUAAAAUCCCAAAACCAGACGCAAACCAGUGGGAUCUUUGCGGGCUCUGUAUCGCAACCACGUACUUGUCCGAAACCCUGGUGCCACCCAAAAACAUCUCCCCUUUCACCUGCGCAACCCCACCUCCAAUCCAUGUAAUGCGUUCAUAUCGGUCCAGAGCAGAUGCGACCUCUCACUGGAGCCAGUAUUGAAGCGGUGCGCCGGCCGAGAGCGACGCCCGCGCCAUUCUCGAUCUCUGCACCUAUUCAAUGCUGGAGAGGUGUGACUGGAAGCGACGGCUAUCCAACGCAUUCAAAUAGGUUGCCCGCCCAACAUUAAAUAGGCGUGCCGACCGAGAAAGCCACUCCGGAGCCGGCAUUGACACAACUCGCCACUUGAGCUGGCAGGCACCCGCUAUUUAAGUGUGGCCACAGCCGACACGAUCCGCAGUGCACCACGUCGGCUUCCGAUCCUCCCUGUGUGCACCACCAUGAUUAUGAUCUCUAGAGCGACGUGGGAGAGCGUCUCGAUGGAGCGGAAGCACGAGUUGGUUAGUCUUGUGGCCAGUUGGCAGGCCCAUCAUGCACGGCGGAUAGAGGCCGGCUUGGCGGUGAGCUCGCCGGAGGUGAGCGACGAUGACCCGACAAUGGAGGAAGUAUCCGAGGAUGAGUCGGUGCCCCACCCGCACCGGUCCAUGCUGGCUUCACCAUGGAGUAGGCCCAAUUGCACUUCAAUGUCAUCAUCGCGGAGGUGCAGCCGGUGUCCAUCCGGCUGGUGCAGGACGAGCAACACUACAACCUCGCCUCCUCGUACCUCAUCGGUUGAUGGAGUGCCAAAUCUACAGCGAGUUCGCGAGCGCGGAGGCUGUGGCGUUCAUGGCCGCGAAGGAACCGAACUUCGUCGAGGAGUAGCAGGUGCUCUACGAGGCCACGUGAAGCGCUCACACUGGCCGCAACGCGAUCACGGCGGAGCUGGAUGCGCAGGCGGCGCUGGUGCCACAGAAGAUCGCUGAAGGGUACAUCGGUAGCUCCAUGUCGUUUGCGCCGCCCGCACGGUUCGCGCCGGGCCACAAGGAGCACCAGGCCGACCCAUCCACGUCUAUCGUGAGUCUCACCCCAACUGGCGACGUUUAGGCCGUGGACUCCGACGAGGAAGAGUUGGACAUGGGAGACAGAUACGCCUCGUGUCCCAUGUCUUACUCUUUCUCGUCGGCGACCCGCAUCUUCACUUCCAGAUGCUCACGGCCGGCAUACGCAGGACAUGUGGAACACUAAGGACUUGGAAGACGGAUGCCAGCGAAGAUUUGGACUCGGUUAACUUCAUGACACUUUUGAUUAACGAACUAUGUCGAAAAUGUAAUGAAUGUAUUCCGGUUUACAUGGAAAAUCAUCCAGCUUGCAAACAAAUCAUCUGUUUUUGUUCAAACUACGAGUGAAAUGUGUCCAGACCGAUGGUGUAUACUAUAUGAUUGGAUGGCCAAGUCCCGUAUCAUGCAUCCGCAGACGAAUAAUGUGUCUAUUUCCGUUUUGGGGAUAGAGAUGCCCUAAGCAAAGUAGUGUGUCCAUCCUCCGACCGACGUCAUCUCAUUCCAUAGCCUUCGCCUCUAUAUAAGCUCUGCCCCUCUCCCCUCCCCUUUGCACCAUCGAUCACCACUGCCGAUCGCUGGCUCGCUAGUCAAGUGAAGUUGGAAUAGCUAGGUAGCUAGCUAGCAAGCAUGAGUGGCGUGUGGGUGUUUGAGGGCGGGAUGGUGAGGCGGGCGGACAGCGAGGCGCCGGGCACGGGCGGGGCGGCGCGGCCGGGCAAGGUGCUGGUGCAUGUGCCGAGCGGCGAGGUGGUGACCUCGUACGAGGUUCUGGAGCGGCGGCUGCGGGAGCUGGGGUGGGAGCGCUACCUCAACGACCCCUGCCUCCUCCAGUUCCACCAGCGCUCCACGGUGCACCUCAUCUCCGUCCCGCGCGACUUCGCCCGCCUCAAGCUCGUCCACAUGCACGACGUCGUCGUCAAGACCCGCAACGUCUUCCAGGUCCGCGACGCCUGAGUAGCUUCAGCUGGCAUGCAUGCUUUGUGUAAUCUACCACCGUACCGUAUGUUCGUGUUGCAUGUGUUCGAUCGAAUUGCGAGGGAGUAUAUGUAAUAGCGCGUGCGUGUGGCUUGCCGUUCUGCAUGGGUGUAUAUCUCAAUAAGGCUCCGUCAACAGGGGACUCCGGCCUACUCGUUUGGGACUUUGGGUUGUUUGAACUGUUUCUUCGGUUUUGCUAUUUCUGAGGUGCUUGAAAUUUUGUUUUGCAUCAGUUAAUUUUCUCCCUCUUCCUGCCCUCUUGGCCGGACCUCGUAGGAGAAGAACUAGCCCCACCAUCCAUAUAAAGUGAAGCCACGGUCCCAUUAUCUAUAUUAGGGGGAAGCCGCAACUCCAUUAUCUAUCUUAGUGGCGGGGGUGGGGGAAUUGCAUGGGAUCGUUUGAAGGUUUUCAUCUGUGGUGCCGGGAUUACAGGGAUGCCGGGGCGGUGACCAGCAAUCGCAGUGGGGGGAGGUUCUGGGGAGGGUGGGGCGGUGUGGCGGUGCGCGUUAGCGCCCACCGGCCGCGGGGGUGGAUGCUGGCGACAGUUGAUGGAUCAGAUCGUGGCUCGAGGAAGAAAGUGAUUAAGAGGAAGAAGAUGACCUGUGAGCCGUUAGAUACAGGUCGGACGGUCAUGAAACAAGGUGACUGAUGCAAACAGUUUUUUCAGGCAUCUAAUGAUUAGACUCUCCCUUGUUUCUUUCCGCCCGUCAUCAAAUUACCCUUCAAUUUGUCAAAUAUUACCCCUCACCGCCAAUGGUAAGUGAAGAGAUGGGAACGUGAAGUUUCUACACCCGGGCUCAAAUGCUCCUGGUGUGAAGAGUAAAAUUCAAAAAAUAGAAAAUAAAAUCAAAAAAUUCUGAAAUGUUUGUUGUGCAUGCAAAGUUUCGUCACGAAAUCACAUUGGUGGAAGAUAAAAAAACAAAAACAGAAUCGACGCUCUAGUGCGCGGGAGGAAGUUCCUAUCUUCUGCCUGACCCAGUAAAACUUGACCGGAUGGCGAAGAAGCAAAAGCGGAGGGAUGGGGCCACUGGUGCACGGGAGGAGGUUGCCGAGCGGGAGGCUCCAGGGGCAGCCGCAGCCGCUGCUGAUUCUGCCACGCCAAGGAAGAGCAGGCGACGGGUCGGCGGCGCCAGGCCAUGUAUGCGCCACAAGCGCUAGGUCGACUGGAUCGGAGCAUGCGUCGCAAGAGAAGCAGCUCGACCACCAUUGUUGGGCAAGUCAGCUGGUUGGCCAUAGCAGAGAGAGUGGUGUUGCUCGAUGGGCGAGGUCGGCGAAUGGUGCGGCGACGCUGGCUGGCCGGCUAAGCUGAUGACAACGCAAGCAUUGGGUGCUCAACUGAUACGCAUUCGUCUAUCAGGUAUUCUUAAUUCUUUGUAAAUAAAAGUACAGAUCCGGAGGUGGUGUUACUUCAAUCCAAAACGUGCUGACAAUUUUCUAUGAAGCUUUAUUUGGUAGUGUGCUGAAUAUUUUGUGUGAAGAUAUCGUAUGUUAUUGAAAUUUGGAUACUUACAAUUACAUGAGUGAAACCCUUUCUACUGGAACAUCAACUUCUGUUUGAACUGAUUUUUAUACUCCCCAACAACAAGAUCAAACUGUCGUAUGACUUCUCUGAAAUUAUGCAACUUAUUUGUUUCUAAUCCUAUGUCAGCAGAAUUCAUCUAAGGUGCUUCGAAGGAAGAAGGCAUCGUUGUCAGCAAUGAUAAGACUCACCUGACGCGUGGGUAGGAUAGCCCGAUUGAGAAGUUUUUGAUGCUUGAACAUCUAGAUAUUUAAAACUUGCAGAUGUCUCAUACGAUGGCUCCACAAGAACCUUCUCCUUUCUAUCGGUUCCUAAAAAAUAUACCCCCCCAUGUGUGUGGAGUGUGUUGUAGUUCUCCACAGAAAUAGAAACAAUAUUUUUUAUGAGACAGGAGAUGAAGAGCUCGGUGAGCACGACCCAACAUCCUGAUUCCUGUGCCUUGACUUUGAAUGCGCCUGCAAUCUCCGACCAAGAAUGUUCCUUUUCAUGGAGCCCGCCGGGGGUGUGGAUACGGAUGAGGAAGACGAGGUCAGCAGUGCGUUAGCAAAACGCAGAUGGACAGAUCCUUGGGUGGAGAUCAUGCUGUAAUGGUGUGUAUUCUGGCGUGGAAAAGUCUUUGCAUGCACAAAGGUCUGUUCUAAUAAAUGACAUUAGUAUUCAAUCAAUCUUGUGUGUUGAUCAUCGGGCACAGGUAGGGAUCAAAUCCGUUUAGAGCAACUCUAGUCGAUCCCUAAAAAAUAAAGGAAUAUUCGGCCGAGUAAAUCUUAAUGGAGUAUUUUUACUCCAAUAGUUCUAUUGGUCAGACCUAUGGGCAUUUUUAACCGAUCCCUUAUAACCGUCUAGAGGAGUAAAAAUGCGGUUUACUUCUUUAAGAGCAUCUCAAUUGAAGAUGAAAAUUUGGAGAUGUAAAACAAGAGAUGUAAAAAAUUUACAUCUUCAAAAAAGUGUUGACUCCAACCGAAGAUGUAUAUUGGAGAUAUAAAAGAGAAGCUCCAACAGAAGAUGCUAACUGAAGAUGUAAAAUCCGCGGGUUGGGUAGCCGUUCAGCGGCGCGGGUGCGGGCGGCGGCGACGGCUCGGCACAGGAGAUGGCCGCAACUCGGUAGAGAAGAAGGCAGGAGCUCGACACUGGGGCGGCGACUUCACGCGGCCGGAAGAACGGUCGAGCCGGAUGGCCGUCGGGCGGCUGGUGUGGCGCGCCUCCCCUACCUUCGGUGGUGGGGCGGGGUCUUUGUUAGGAAGAAGCCUCGCCCAUCCAUCACCUCGCCGUGGAAGGCAUUACGCCAGCCGAACCGCCGGACAAGCUUCGAUUCGAAGUGGUGGCCAAAAGAGAAUCAGCGGUUGCAGGCGGCGGCCUAGCGAGGCAGGCGGCGGGGGAGAGGGGACGAAGUCGCGGCGGGGCUGGCGGCGGCGAUUUUGGGCGAAUUCGGCCGGCCGCGGAAUUGGGCGGGUGGCGGCCGGUCCCACGGAAGUGAAGUGAACGACAGUUGGUGGAUUGGCGGGCGGUUGCAUUUCUACAUCUCCAUGUUGUGGAGAUGCAAAUUUGCAACUCGAAGUGUUGUAUUUUACAUCUUCGGGCGGCGGAGAUGUAAUUUUUUUGCAUCUACAUCAUCUGCUGAAGAGGUGUUUUUAGGCCUCGGAGAUGCAAAAAGUUGUUACUUUUGCAUCUACAUCUUCUAUUGGAGAUGCUCUAACCGACACCUAGCCGAUUCCUUAUCCGUCGUAAAAGAGUAGAAUUUUAACUCCAUCCCAUAAUUCUCCCUAUAUUUACUCCACCGCACGUGCAGCGGUUGAGUAAAAAACCACGCCUCUCUUCCACUGUCUCCCCAUCCCAUCCCGUGCCGCAUCUGUGCCAGCGCCGCCCCUCCACCUCCCCCUCGUCGGCACCCGCCCGCCACCGUGGAAGCUCCGUAGCUGUCCUCUACUACUUCAAUUUGUGCCUCCUCGUCCCGUCACCGGCGAAAAAGAGGUGGAUCUGCCGUAGCUCCCACCGCCACUAGAUUUGGCAUUUCCGGACGCUAGAGGCUGCGUCUUGCCAUGGAUUGGCCGGGAAGUGGACCACACAGCCCCGACAAUGCCUCCACGCUGCAUGUAGGUACGGGCUCCUCCUCUAGCCACUCAAAUCUCUCCCGCCGGAGGUUUGCCGGCACAUACACGCCUGGUCAUCGCCCGGGCUCGGCGCUGGCGCAGUGGCUCGCCAGCUUGCCGCUGCAGGACAUACAGUGUGACGACUACACGCGGCAAGUGGUGCGCCAAGUUUCUACCACACCACAACAUCCUGGAUGGGUGUUCUUCAAAUGCAAAAAUGAUGGGGUAUGUGCUUGUUUUGAUUCGGUUGUUCACCGGAUCCAACGCAAUUUUGGUAGCUCAUUCUUUGCUCAUCUAUGUGUGUAGGAUGAUGGGUGCAAGUUUUGGUAUCGGGAAGAAGAAUAUAUCGAUCUAUUGAUAGUUCGAAAAUUAAUAGAUGUUCGUGCACUCGUUGCUAGAAUACAGACUAGAUAUGAUAUUAGAGAUGAAAUUAGAUGUGAAGCAACAUCUACUUCUUUAUAAUCAAAGAAGAAAGAAGUGUUGAAACUCCAGAAGCCACAUAUCAACAAUGAAGACAUAGAGAAAUUAUUAAUCCAACUAGUGGAGAAGUUAGGGGAGUUGGAUAUCUUCUAAAAUGUCUAAUUGUGGUUCUUGUUUUCUUUGGUCUUCUCGUAGCAAAGAAUUGGUAAUUAUUAUGUACUCCAAUGUCGUUGAAUGAAAUAAGAAGCAUAGUAAUGUGUUUCGGUGGCCGAAAAUGAAAUGCAAAUGAUUUUUUUUCUCCGUUAACAUUAGGGGAUCGGAUAGUCCAGCGAAAUUUCAGUGGUGUAUAUAUACUCAACUAAGGUAUACUAGGCCAUUUACUCCCUUAACUUUUAGGGGAUCGGUUAGAAAUACCCUAACCGAUCCUCUAACUAUAACGGAGUAUAUUUUUUUUCAACUUGUGCAAUUAUAUUUACAUUUCAACUACAUAUUAGCACACAUAUAGAAACUAAACAUAAAUAUGAAGGUUCAAGCAAAUCACAAAUAUAGUUUAUAAUCCGAAUUCAAAGUUUACAAACCGAGUUAUUCAAAUUUAAACACACUGAAUGGUUCAAAUGUAGCAAAUAACAUAUCAAAACACAACUAGAAAGUGCUAUGAAGUUGCCAGUGAUGCUGAACAGGAUCUUGUUGGAGCUGGUUAUGAACUUGUCGGCUCUCAAUCCUAUGAUGCGCUUCAAGGAAUGACUGGAUCCUAUUUGGAUCAUACUCUGGCUCAAUAGUAGUCCCAUUGUACCAAAAGUUCUCAGGAAUAUCUCUCUCAUGUCCAAUGAUCAUGUUAUGCAAAAUGAUGCAACAAGUCAUGAUUUGCCAUAGAACCUUGGAGGUCCAGUACUCGGCAUGACCACGAACAUUGGCAAAGCGCUUAUGGAGCACACCGAAGGCUCUCUUCACAUAUUUCCAAGCCGCUUCUUGAUGUUGGGCAAAGUGAAUAUUUCUGUUACCUUUUGGACCCGGAAUUGUUUUGACUAGUCUGGCCCAUGGGGGAUAGAUGCCAUCUGCAAGGUAGUAACCCAUCAUGUAGUUGUGCCCAUAGAUUGUAUAGUUACAAGGAGGAUCAUCUCCUGAAAUGAGCCUAGCAAAAAGUGGAGAUCACGACACAGUACAUUCAGGUCAUCGGCCGAACACCCAUUUGCUAAAACUUAAACAGCCGCAAUUCAGUGGGCUUGCACUUAUCUCUCUGCAUGCAUUCCUUCUAAGCUUGAACCAAUCAUCAUACUUCUCAACGGCUUUUGCAAUGGUGAGGAAAAGACUUGUGUGCAUCCGAAAGCGCCAACGAAAGUACUUCUCUAGAUAGGUUGGGUUUAGAUCAAAGAAUCUCUCAUGAUCCUGGCACAACCCUUCGCUCUAUCACGGUUGAGUUGUAUGCUGACAAACUGCGAUGCUCUCCUCAGCCGCCGAAUAUCAUCACUGAAAAUCAUGCCAAGAACAGUUUCAAAGUCUUCUUCAUCUUCUUCCACUUCGGAUGACGAUGAGUCCUCGAAGAUCAUUUUUCUCAACGUCUUCAUCUUCAAUUCAAACGACUCGGUCCAAUUUGAUUGUACAAAACGAAAUGACACGAAAGAAAAAAUAAUCAAAAAUACUCACCUAGGAAAACCGUCGAACACUUGUAAGGCGGCGGUGGUGCACUAGCCGACCAACAAUGUUUAUGCCAAACGAGCGGGCGGCGGUGUGUGGGAAUGACCUGCAAUCGUGUGUAAGCACCAUCGAAUGUGGAGGCCGCCAACGAGGAAGGACAUUUGAGAGCAAUCCGGCAAAACGUUUAAGGCGACGAGCGACGGCGGCGGCAUUCCACCUUGAUUCCGGCGACAAUGACGGUCGGGAAAGGGCUCGGAUUCAGGUAAAAGGGUAGCGAGGGCCAAGGGAGGCGACGAUGUAGCGGCGGGGGAGGUGUACGGUUGCUGGGAAGUGCGCUGGGGAAGUGGCAGUUGGGGUGGGGAGGCGUGAGAGAGGAUAGAAAUUUUACUCCGCGCGGUCACAAACCUUGCUUAUUUAGGCACCGAAUAGGAGGCGGAGCAAAAAAGUUACUCCACUAUUCGGUUUAGGGGAUCGGCUAGGUGUCGGUUAGAGGAGUAAAAUGAAAACAUUACUCCUCUAUAGCCAUUUAGGGGACGGCUAGAGUUACUCUUAGCUGGUACCCCCAUGUCGCCCGCUCUGGCAACUCGGGCAUGACUCUCAGUGCCGCCGCAUAGCUUCCCCCUCCCCUCCCCUCCCUAGCUGUCGUCUGAGGCUGGCACCGGGAAUUAUCGAGCUGUGGCCAAGGAAGGUGGCGGCGGGGCCCAUUUUGCUCCGCCCCAGUGAACCUCGGCUUGGCGUGGUUGUUGUGGCGGCCAGUGAUGCUGCAUUUGGUCGCUUCCUCCUCUGCCCUGCUCAGUGUGCUCCCAGUAUAGCCUUGGCCCGUGUUAUUGGCUGCAGGUCAUGGUUUGUGUUAGGGUAGUUCAUAUUGACAUGUCAAGCCAAGAUUGAGCACAUGCCUUCACAAGAUUCCCUCCCAUCGACUUGAAGUGCUAGAGUAGCACUCUGAGUCCUGAACCUUCGUGCUAGACCAUUAUGUUUGUGAAGGAAGUGCCACAUAAAAAUUAUGUAUUGGGUAUUAUAUCAUCACACCAACCAUGGUAAAUUCUUCUUGGUUUGUCUUAGGGUAGGUCAUACACAUGUCAAACCAAGAUUGAGCACACGCCUUCAUAAGAUUCCCUCUCACCGGCUCGAAGUUCGAGAGUAGCACUCUAAGUCCUGAACCUUCGUGUCGGAAUGUCUCGUAGGUCACAGGGCUUUUCUGGUUGUCCCGUAACAACUUUUAAAACACACAAAUAGGAUAGUCCAGACGGAGUCAAACUUUUGAAGAAACCCUAGGGGUAGAUGUUAAAGGGCUUACCGAACAAGGAAUUCAUGAAAUCACAUUAAGGGUCGGAACAAGUUAUUCUUUUGCAUGUGGUCCUAAUAUGGGUACACUAGGGGGGUUUGAAUAGUACACUACUAGGGAAAACCUUAUAGGUGGAGGCUUAUCAGUAGCACGGGUCAGAAGCACGCGCUACUGAUACGUCCAUUUUGCAUCAUGCUUUUAUAUCGAUAUUUAUAGCAUUAUGGGCUGUUAUUACACGUUAUGCCACAAUACUUAUGCCUAUUCUCUCUUAUUUUACAACGUUUACAUGAAGAGGGAGAAUGCCGGCAGCUGGGAUUCUGGGCUGGAAAAGGGCAAAUAUUAGAGACCUAUUCUGCACAGCUCCAAAAGUCCUGAAACUUCACGGAAGUCAUUUUUGGAAUUAAUAAAAAAUAUUAGGCAAAGAAAAUAUCAGAGGGGGCCCACACCCUGACCACGAGGGUGGGAGGCGCGCCCUACCCCCUGGGCGUGCCCCCUGCCUCGUGGGCCCCUGGCAGGUCUCUGGUGCCCAUCUUCUGCUAUAUGAAGUCUUUCGUCUGAGAAAAAAAAUCAUAAACAAGCUUUCGGGAAGAAACUCCGCUGCCACGAGGCGGAACCAAUCUAGGGCUCCGGCGGAGCUGUUCGGCCGGGGAAACUUCCCUCCGGGAGGGGGAAAUCAUCACCAUCGUCAUCACCAACGAUCCUAUCAUCGGGAGGGGCCCAAUCUUCAUCAACAUCUUCACCAGCACCAUCUCCUCUCAAACCCUAGUUCAUCUCUUGUAUCCAAUCUUUGUCCCAAAGCCUCAGAUUGGUACUGCUACAUCUUGAGCACUGCGUUGGUUUUCCCUUGAAGAGGAGAGGGUGAUGCAGCAAAGUAGCGUAAGUAUUUCCCUCAGUUUUUGAGAACCAAGGUAUCAAUCCAGUAGGAUGCCACGCACGAGUCCCUCGCACCUACACAAACAAAUAAAUCCUUGCAACCAACGCGAUAAGGGGUUGUCAAUCCCUACACGGUCACUUGCGAGAGUGAGAUCUGAUAAGAUAAUAUUUUUGGUAUUUUUAUGAUAAAGAUGGAAAGUAAAGAAAACAAAAUAAAAACGGCGCCAGAAAUAGCUUGUUGUCGGGAGAUUAAUAUGAUGGAAAAUAGACCCGGGGGCCAUAGGUUUCACUAGUGGCUUCUCUCAUGAGCAUAAAUAUUACGGUGGGUGAACAAAUUACUGUUGAGCAAUUGAUAGAAUUGAGCAUAGUUAUGAGAAUAUCUAGGUAUGAUCAUGUAUAUAGGCAUCACGUCCGAGACAAGUAGACCGACUCCUGCCUGCAUCUACUACUAUUACUCCACACAUCGACCGCUAUCCAGCAUGCAUCUAGAGUAUUAAGUUCAUAAGAACAGAGUAACGCUUUAAGUAAGAUGACAUGAUGUGGAGGGAUAAACUCAUGCAAUAUGAUAUAAACCCCAUCUUGUUAUCCUCGAUGGCAACAAUACAAUACGUGCCUUGCUGCCCCUACUGUCACCGGGAAAGGACACCGCAAGAUUGAACCCAAAGCUAAGCACUUCUCCCAUUGGAAGAAAGAUCAAUCUAGUAGGCCAAACCAAACUGAUAAUUCGAAGAGACUUGCAAAGAUAACCAAUCAUACAUAAAAGAAUUCAGAGAAGAUUCAAAUAUUGUUCAUAGAUAAACUUGAUCAUAAACCCACAAUUCAUCGGUCUCAACAAACACACCACAAAAGAAGAUUACAUCGAAUAGAUCUCCACGAGAGAGGGGGAGAACAUUGUAUUGAGAUCAAAAAAGAGAGAAGAAGCCAUCUAGCUAAUAACUAUGGAUCCGAAGGUCUGAGGUAAACUACUCACACAUCAUCGGAGAGGCUAUGGUGUUGAUGUAGAAGCCCUCCGUGAUCGAGGCCCCCUCCGGCGGAGCUCCGGAACAGGCCCCAAGAUGGGAUCUCACGGGUACAGAAGGUUGCGGCGGUGGAAUUAGGUUUUUGGCUCCGUAUCUGGUAGUUUGGGGGUACGUAGGUAUAUAUGGGAGGAACAAGUACGUCGGUGGAGCAACGUGGGGCCCACGAGGGUGGAGGCCGCGCCCAUGGGGGGUAGGCGCACCCCCUACCUCGUGCCCUCCUGGUUGAUGUCUUGACGUAGGGUCCAAGUCCUCUGGAUCACGUUCGUUCCGAAAAUCACGCUCCCGAAGGUUUCAUUCCGUUUGGACUCCGUUUGAUAUUCUUUUUCUGCGAAACUCUGAAAUAGGCAAAAUCAGCAAUUCUGGGCUGGGCCUCCGGUUAAUAGGUUAGUCCCAAAAAUAAUAUAAAAGUGUAUAAUAAAGCCCAAUAAUUUCCAAAACAGAAUAUAAUAUAGCAUGGAACAAUAAAAAAUUAUAGAUACGUUGGAGACGUAUCAGGUACCUGUGGGUUGCUAGUAGUGUUGAUUACUCCUUGUAGUUGAUGCUAGUUGGUUUAUUUGGUGGAAGAUCAUAUGUUCAGAUCCAUUAUGCAUAUUAAUACCCCUCUGAUUAUGAACAUGAAUACGCUUUGUGAGUAGUUACCUUUGUUCCUGAGGACAUGGGAGAAGUCUUGCUAUAAUUAGUCAUGUGAAUUUGGUAUUCGUUCGAUAUUUUGAUAAGAUGUAUGUUAUCUUUCCUCUAUGGUGUUAUGUGAACAUCGACUACCUGACACUUCAGCAUUAUUUGGGCCUAGAGGAAGGCAUUGGGAAGUAAUAAGUAGAUGAUGGGUUGCUAGAGUGACAGAAGCUUAAACCCUAGUUUAUGCGUUGCUUCGUAAGGGGCUGAUUUGGAUCCAUAUGUUUCAUGCUAUGGUUAGGUUUACCUUAAUACUUCUUUUAUAGUUGCGGAUGCUUGCAAUAGGAGUUAAUCAUAAGUGGGAUGCUUGUCCAAGUAAGGAAAUAACCCAAGCACCGGUCCACCCACAUAUCAAAUUACCAAAGUACCGAACGCGAAUCAUAUGAGCGUGAUGAAAACUAGCUUGACGAUAAUUCCCAUGUGUCCUCGGGAGCGUUUUCCUUCAUAUAAGAGUUUGCCCAGGCUUGUCCUUUGCUACAAAAAGGAUUGGGCCAUCUUGCUGCACUUUUUUUACACUUGUUACUUGUUACUCGUUACAAAUUACCUUAUCAUAAAACUAUCUGUUACCUAUAAUUUCCGUGCUUGCGGAGAAUACCUUGCUGAAAACCGCUUGUCAUUUCCUUCUGCUCCUCGUUGGGUUCGACACUCUUGCUUAUCGAAAGGACUAGAUAGAUCCCCUAUACUUGUGGGUCAUCAAGACUCUUUUAUGGUGCCGUUGCCGGGGAGUGAAGCGCCUUUGGUAAGUGGAAUUUGGUAAGGAAAAAUUUAUAUAGUGUGUUGAAAUUUACUGUCACUUGCUACUAUGGAAAGUAAUCCUUUGAGGGGCUUGUUCGGGGUAUCUUCACCCCGACCAGUAGAGCAAAUAGUUUUUCCUCAACCUACUGAACCUACUAAAAAGUUUUACUUUGAAAUUCCUUCGGGUAUGAUAGAGAAACUGCUAGCUAAUCCUUUUGCAGGAGAUGGAACAUUGCAUCCCGAUUUACACCUAAUCUAUGUGGAUGAAGUUUGUGGAUUAUUUAAGCUUGCAGGUAUGCCCGAUGAUGUUAUCAAGAAGAAGGUCUUCCCUUUAUCUUUUAAGGGAGAGGCAUUGACAUGGUAUAGGCUAUGUGAUGAUAUGGGAUCAUGGAACUACAAACGAUUGAAAUUGGAAUUUCAUCAGAAGUUUUAUCCUAUGCAUCUUGUUCAUCGUGAUCGUAAUUAUAUAUAUAAUUUUUGGCCUCGCGAAGGAGAAAGCAUCGCUCAAGCUUGGGGGAGGCUUAAUUCAAUGUUAUAUUCAUGCCCUGAUCAUGAGCUCUCAAGAGAAAUGAUUAUUCAAAAUUUCUAUGCUCGGCUUUCUCUCAAUAAUCGCUCCAUGCUCGAUACUUCUUGUACUGGCUCUUUUAUGAUGAAGACUAUUGAAUUCAAAUGGGAUUUAUUGGAAAGAAUUAAACGCAACUCUGAAGAUUGGGAUCUCGACGAAGGUAAAGAGUCAGGUAUAAUACCUAAGUUUGAUUGUGUUCAAUCUUUUAUGGAUACCGAUGCUUUCCGUGAAUUUAGCACUAAAUAUGGACUUGACUCUGAGAUAGUAGUUUCUUUCUGCGAAUCCUUUGCUACUCAUGUUGAUCUCCCUAAGGAGAAGUGGUUUAAAUAUAAUCCUCCCAUUGAAGUAAAAGUAGUUGCACCUAUUAAAGUUGAAGAAAAGACUAUCACUUACAAUCAUCCUAUUGUUCCUACUGCUUAUGUUGAGAAACCACCUUUCCCUGUUAGAAUAAAGGAUCAUGCUAAGGCUUCAACUGUUGUCAACUAAAGUAAUAUUAGGACACACAAACCCCCUGAGCAAGUUAAAUUUGAACCUAAUAUUGCUAUGGUUAAAGAUCUCUUGGCGGAUAAUAUUGAUGUGCAUGUUAUUUAUUUCUGUGAGGAAAUUGCUAGAAUUGCUAAGCCUGGUGCUAAAGAUAAACAUAAACCUGUUGUAGGCAUGCCUGUUAUUUCUGUUAAAAUAGGAGAUCAUAAUUAUCAUGGCUUAUGUGAUAUGGGUGCUAGUGCUAGUGCAAUACCUCAUACCUUAUACAAAGAAAUUAUGCAUGAUAUUGCACCUGCUGAGAUAGAAGAUAUAGAUGUUACAAUUAAACUUGCCAAUAGAGAUACUAUUUCACCGGUUGGGAUUGUUAGAGAUGUUGAAGUAUUGUGUGGGAAGGUUAAAUAUCCUGCUGAUUUUCUUGUUCUUGGUUCCCCACAAGAUAGCUUUUGUCCCAUUAUAUUUGGUAGACCCUUCUUGAACACUGUUAAUGCUAGGAUAGACUGCGAAAAGGAUGUUGUUACUAUUGGUUUGGGUGAUAUGUCUCAUGAGUUUAUUUUUUCUAAAUUUCAUAGACAACCCCGUGAUGAGGAAUUGCCUAGUAAGGAUGAAAUUAUUGGUCUUGCUUCUAUUGCCGUGCCUCCUAAUGAUCCUUUAGAACAGUAUUUGCUUGAUCAUGAAAAUGAUAUGUUUAUGAAUGAAAGAAGGGAAAUAGAUGAAGCAUUCUUUAAACAGGGACCUAUUCUGAAACACAACUUGCCUGUUGAAAUCCUAGGGGAUCCUCCUCCACCCAAGGGUGAUCCCGUGUUUGAGCCUAAACCAUUGCCUGAUACUCUUAAAUAUGUUUAUCUUGAUGAAAAGAAGAUAUAUCCUGUUAUUAUUAGUGCUAACCUUUCAGAGCAUGAAGAAGAGAAAUUAUUGAAAACUCUGAAGAAGCACCGUGCUGCUAUUGGAUAUACUCUUGAUGAUCUUAAGGGCAUUAGUCCCACUCUAUGUCAACACAAAAUAAAUUUGGAGAAAGACGCCAAACCAGUUAUUGAUCAUCAACGACGAUUAAAUCCUAAGAUGAAAGAAGUGGUAAGAAAGGAAAUAUUAAAGCUCCUUGAAGCAGGUAUAAUUUAUCCAGUUGCUGAUAGUCAGUGGGUAAGUCCUGUUCAUUGUGUCCCUAAGAAGGGAGGUAUUACCGUCGUUCCUAAUGAUAAAGAUGAAUUAACCCCGCAAAGAAUUAUUACAGGUUAUAGGAUGGUAAUUGAUUUUUGCAAAUUAAAUAAAGCUACUAAAAAAGAUCAUUACCCUUUGCCUUUCAUUGAUCAAAUGCUAGAAAGAUUAUCCAAACAUACACAUUUUUGCUUUCUAGAUGGUUACUCUGGUUUCUCUCAAAUACGUGUGUCAGCUGAUUAUCAAGAAAAGACCACUUUUACUUGCCCUUUCGGUACCUUUGCUUAUAGACGUAUGCCUUUUGGUUCAUGUAAUGCACCUGCUACCUUCCAAAGAUGCAUGAUGGCUAUAUUCUCUGACUUUUGUGAAAAGAUUUGUGAGGUUUUCAUGGACGAUUUCUCCGUUUAUGGUUCCUCUUUUGAUGAUUGCUUGAGCAACCUUGAUUGAGUUUUGCAGAGAUGUGAAGAAACUAAUCUUGUCUUGAACUGGGAGAAGUGCCACUUUAUGGUUAAUGAAGGUAUUGUCUUGGGGCAUAAAAUUUCUGAAAGAGGUAUUGAAGUUGAUAAAGCUAAAGUUGAUGCUAUUGAAAAGAUGCCGUGUCCCAAGGACAUCAAAGGUAUAAGAAGUUUCCUUGGUCAUGCCGGUUUUUAUAGGAGGUUCAUUAAGGACUUUUCAAAAAUUUCUCGGCCUCUGACUAAUCUAUUACAAAAAGAUAUACCUUUUGUCUUUGAUGAUGAUUGUGUAGAAGCAUUUGAAAUACUUAAUAAAGCAUAAAUUUCUGCACCUAUUGUUCAGCCACCUGAUUGGAAUUUACACUCUGAAAUUAUGUGUGAUGCUAGUGAUUAUGCUGUAGGUGCUGUUCUAGGACAAAGAGUUGAUAAGAAAUUAAAUGUUUUUCAAUAUGCUAGUAAAACUCUACACAGUGCCCAGAGAAACUAUGCUACUACCGAAAAAGAAUUCUUAGCAGUUGUAUUUGCUUGUGAUAAGUUCAGACCUUAUAUUGUUUAUUCUAAAGUAACUAUUCACACUGAUCAUGCUGCUAUUAAGUAUCUUAUGGAAAAGAAAGAUGCUAAACCUAGACUUAUUAGAUGGGUUCUUUUGCUACAAGAAUUUGAUUAUCUUAUUAUUGAUAGAAAGGGAGCUAAGAACCCACUUGCACACAAUUUGUCCAGGUUAGAGAAUGUUCUUGAUGACCCACUACCUAUUGAUGAUAGCUUUCCUGAUGAACAAUUAAAUGCCAUAAAUGCUUCUCGUACUGCUCCAUGGUAUGCUGAUUAUGCUAAUUACAUUGUUGCUAAAUUUAUACCACCUAGUUUCACAUACCAGCAAAAGAAAAAGUUUUUCUAUGAUUUGAGGCAUUACUUCUGGGAUGACCCACACCUUUAUAAAGAAGGAGUAGAUGGUGUUAUUAGACGUUGUAUACCUGAGCAUGAACAGGAACAGAUCCUGCGCAAGUGUCACUCCGAAGCUUAUGGAGGACACCACGCUGGAGAUAGAACUGCACAUAAGGUAUUGCAAUCCGAUUUUUAUUGGCCUUCUCUCUUCAAGGAUGCUCGUAAGUUUGUCUUAUCUUGUGAUGAAUGUCAAAGGAUUGGUAACAUUAGUAAACGUCAGGAAAUGCCUAUGAACUAUUCACUUGUUAUUGAACCAUUCGAUGUUUGGGGCUUUGAUUAUAUGGGACUGUUUCCUUCCUCUAAUGGGUAUACACAUAUUUAGUUGCUGUUGAUUACGUUACUAACUGGGUAGAAGCUAUUCAACUAGUAGUGCUGAUCAUAACACCUAUAUUAAGAUGCUUAAAGAAGUUAUUUUUCCAAGGUUUGGAGUCUCUAGAUAUUUAAUGACUGAUGGUGGUUCACAUUUUAUUCAUGGUGCUUUCCCUAAAAUGCUUGCAAAGUAUGAUGUUAAUCAUAGAAUUGCAUCUCCUUAUCACCCACAGUCUAGUGGUCAAGUGGAAUUGAGCAAUAGAGAGCUCAAAUUAAUUUUGCAAAAGACUGUUAAUAGAUCUAGAAAGAAUUGGUCCAAGAAACUUGAUGAUGCAUUAUGGGCCUAUAGAACUGCAUAUAAAAAUCCUAUGGGUAUGUCCCCGUAUAAAAUGGUUUACGGAAAAGCAUGUCACUUACCUCUCAAAUUGGAACAUAAGGCAUAUUGGGCCAUUAAAGAGCUCAAUUAUGAUUUCAAACUUGUCGGUGAAAAAAGGUUAUUUGACAUUAGCUCACUUGAUGAAUGGAGAACCCAGGCCUAUGAGAAUGCCAAACUCUUUAAAGAAAAAGCUAAAAGAUGGCAUGACAAAAGGAUACAAAAGCGUGAGUUUAAUGUAGGUGAUUAUGUGUUACUAUUCAACUCUCGUUUAAGAUUUUUUGCAGGAAAACUUCUCUCUAAAUGGGAAGGCCCUUACGUUAUCGAGGAGGUCUAUCGUUCCGGUGCCAUAAAAAUCAACAACUUCGAAGGCACAAAUCCGAAGGUGGUGAACGGUCAAAGAAUCAAACAUUAUAUCUCAGGUAUUCCUAUAAAUAUUGAAACUAAUAUUAUUGAAACCGUAACACCGGAGGAAUACAUAAGAGACACUUUCCAGAACGUUUCAGACUCCGAAAAGGAAUAGGUACGUGGUACGGUAAGUAAACCGACUCCAAAACAGUUCUAAUGGCAAUUUUUCUCCGUUUUGGAAUAUUUAAGAAAAUAGGAAAAUAAGAAGUAGUUCGGGAAGGACACGAGGCUUCCACGAGGGUGGAGGGCGCGCCCUACCCCCUGGGCGCGCCCCCUACCUCGUGGGCACCUCGUGCGCUCUCUGGACUCCGUUUUCUUGCACGAUACUUCUUUUGGUCGGUAAAAAUUCAUUAUAUAAACUCCCGAAGGUUUUGACCACCGUACCACGCAAUUAUCCUCUGUUCUUGUUUCGAGCUGUUUCUGCCGCAGAUUAGAGCAAGAUGUCUUCUCAAGAGUCAGUCGGGGAGAGUUGGGUGCUCAUCUGACACCAGGUACAGGGGCAAACCUUUGGGCCCUCAAUGGAGGAAGAGAUGGAAGCUGACUUGAAAAGGAUAGAUGCCAUGGAGGAGGAUCAAGAAGUUACUUCUCGUUUCCGGGUAGGAUUCACGAUGGGGGAACUAUAGAGCUCCGCUAUCCCAAACUCGGCCAUCCCCUCCAACGUUAAAUUUCUCUCUUAUGAAAAUAUGAAAAGGAGUGUUACUUGUUCUCCCGCAGCUAUGCAACAUCCAUGGGUGCAAGGAGCCUUAACCGUCACGGGUAAGCUUCGUAAGGAAAUAAUGGAUCUUAAGCGGCAAGUCAACAAGCUCGAGGAGGAGAAUCGUAUCCUAAGGGGUAUCAUAGCCAAGAAUAUCACAUCUUCAUCCCCAAAGAAGGAGACAUAAUCACAUGGGUAUGGGCACUCCCCUUGGCAACUGCCAAGAUUGGGGGAGGUGCCCCGCUAUCGUAUCACCAUCACACUCCUAUCUUUACCGUUUUUCUUAGUUCGAUCCUUUUGGUAAUAUCUUGAUCUAGUAGAAUAGAGUUUUAGUAUGAUUUAGUUUUGAGUUUUGCCUUAUGGUCCUUCUAUGUAAUCGAGUCCGUGAGCUAUAUAAUAAAGAUUAGUGUUGAGUCAAGGGCUUGAUUAUCUUGCUAUGAUCUUGAGUGAAUAAAAGAAAAAGAAAAAAAUAAUAAUAAAAAGAAAUAAAGAGAUCAUAUUGAUCUUAUGGAGAGUAAUGACUUCACAUAUAGAGAGUGUGAUGAUUAAAAGUUGUUGAGAGUUGACAAACAUAGUUUUGGUCAUCGUUGCAAUUAGUAGGAAGUAAUAAAGAAAGAGAGGUUUCACAUACAAAUAUAUUAUCUUAGACAUCUUUUAUGAUUGUGAGCACUCAUUAAAAUAUGACAUGCUAAAGAGUUGACGUUGGACAAGGAAGACAACGUAUGGGUUAUGUUUUCUUAUAUCUGAAAUAAAGUAUAUUGUCAUGGAUCAUCCAACAUGUCAGCCAAUUCUUUGCACCAAGUAGAGAUACUACUUGUGCUUCCAAUACCCUUAAACCCAGUUUUGCCAUGAGAGUACACCAUAUCUACCUAUGGAUUGAGUCAGAUCCUUCAAGUAAGUUGUCAUUGUUGCAUGCAAUAAAAAUUGCUCUCUAAAUAUAUAUGACUUAUUAGUGUGGAGAAAAUAAGCUUUAUACGAUCUUGUGACGUGGAAGAAAUAAAAGCGACAGACUGCAUAAUAAAGGUCCACAUCACAAGUGGCAAUAUAAAGUGACGUUCUUUUGCAUUAAGAUUUCGUGCAUCCAACCAAAAGCACAUGACAACCUCUGCUUCCCUCUGCGAAGGGCCUAUAUUUUACUUUUAUCUUCUAACCUUGUGCAAGAGUCAUGGUGAUCUUCACCUUUCCUUUUUACAUUUUAUCUUUUGGCAAGCACACUGUGUUGGAAAGAUCCUGAUAUAUAUAUAUAUAUAUAUAUAUAUAUAUAUAUAUAUAUAUAUAUAUAUAUAUAUAUAUCUAAUUGGAUGUAAGUUAGCAUGAGCUAUUAUUGUUGACAUUACCCUUGAGGUAAAAGGUUGGGAGGCGAAACUAUAAGCCCCUAUCUUUCUCUGUGUCCGAUUAAAACUCCGUAACCACAAGUAUUGCGUGAGUGUUAGCAAUUGUGAAAGACUAAAUGAUAGUUGAGUAUGUGGACUUGCUGAAAAGCUCUUAUAUAGACUCUUUCCAAUGUUAUGAUAAAUUGCAAUUGCCUCAAUGACUGAGAUUAUAGUUGUUGGUUCUCAAUGAAGUUUCUGAUUCAUACUUGACGUUGUGAAUAGAUUAUUACUUGAGGAUAAGAAGUCAUAUGACAAUAUUCAAAUAUGUUGCUGUUAUAAGAAUGAUCAUGAUGCCCUCAUGUCCAUAUUUUAUUUUAUCGACAGCUCUAUCUCUAAACAUGUGGACAUAUUUAUCGUUAUCGGCUUCCGCUUGAGGACAAGUGAGGUCUAAGCUUGGGGGAGUUGAUACGUCCAUUUUGCAUCAUGCUUUUAUAUCGAUAUUUAUUGCAUUAUGGGCUGUUAUUACAACACGUUAUGUCACAAUACUUAUGCCUAUUCUCUCUUAUUUUACAAGGUUUACAUGAAGAGGGAGAAUGCCGACAGCUGGGAUUCUGGGCUGGAAAAGGAGCAAAUAUUAGAGACCUAUUCUGCACAGCUCCAAAAGUCCUGAAACUUCACGGAAGUCAUUUUUGGAAUUAAGAAAAAAUACUGGGUGAAGAAAAUACCAGAGGGGGCCCACACCCUGGCCACGAGGGUGGGAGGCGCGCCCUACCCCCUGGGCGCGCCCCCCUGCCUCGUGGGCCCCCUGGAAGGUCUCUAGUGCCCAUCUUCUGGUAUAUGAAGUCUUUCGUUCGAGAAAAAAAUCAUAAGCAAGCUUUCGGGAAGAAACUCCGCCGCCACGAGGCGGAACCUUGGCGGAACCAAUCUAGGGCUCCGGCGGAGCUGUUCUGCCGGGGAAACUUCCCUCAGGGAGGGGGAAAUCAUCACCAUCGUCAUCACCAACGAUCCUCUCAUCGGGAGGGGCCCAAUCUUCAUCAACAUCUUCACCAGCACCAUCUCCUCUCAAACCCUAGUUCAUCUCUUGUAUCCAAUCUUUGUCCCAAAGCCUCAGAUUUGUACCUGUGGGUUGCUAGUAGUGUUGAUUACUCCUUGUAGUUGAUGCUAGUUGUUGGAAGAUCAUAUGUUCAGGGGAAGCAUAGCAACGAGUGGGGAGAGUGUGUCUAGGUACCCUCGUAGACCAAAAGUGGAAGCGUUAUGUAACGCGGUUGAUGUAGUCGAACGUUGAUGUCUACUACGCAACCUUCUUAUUGUAGAUGUUGUUGGGCCUCCAAGUGUAGAGGUUUUUAGGACAGUAGCAAAUUUCCCUCAAGUGGAUGACCUAAGGUUUAUCAAUCAGUGGGAGGCGUAGGAUGAAGAUGGUCUCUCUCAAGCAACCCUGCAACCAAAUAACAAAGAGUCUCUUGUGUCCCCAACACACCCAAUAGAAUGGCAAAUUGUAUAGGUGCACUAGUUCGGCGAAGAGAUGGUGAUACAAGUUGAAAGUGCGUUAUAUCNNNNNNNNNNNNNNNNNNNNNNNNNNNNNNNNNNNNNNNNNNNNNNNNNNNNNNNNNNNNNNNNNNNNNNNNNNNNNNNNNNNNNNNNNNNNNNNNNNNNNNNNNNNNNNNNNNNNNNNNNNNNNNNNNNNNNNNNNNNNNNNNNNNNNNNNNNNNNNNNNNNNNNNNNNNNNNNNNNNNNNNNNNNNNNNNNNNNNNNNNNNNNNNNNNNNNNNNNNNNNNNNNNNUAUGAAUUCUUCACCGAGGAAUUUGCCGGUGAGGAAAUUCCUUAGCGAAUAACUUCUUGCAGCGAAAUAAGUACUCAAAAACAAACAUAAUAGAAUACAAGCAUGGUCAUCAUGAUGAAAUGAGAACAAGCACAGAGUACAGAAAGCGUAAACACAGGAUAACACAGGAUGAAGACAAACAGACUGAAGAAAUUGAACUGAGGAAAUUGGGAAAGUCUUCAGUCAAAGUCUUCAAACACAGAUAUGACAAGCACACAACACAGUGAUGAGGAAAUGAAAGAGUUGAGGAAAUAGAACCAGUAGGCUUGGUGAAGACAAUGAUUUGGUAGACCAGUUCCAACUGCUGUCUCAGUUGUACAUAUGGUUGGAGCGGCUAGGUAUUUAAACCUGAGGACACACAGUCCCGGACACACAGUCCUCACCGUAUUCUCCUUGAGCUAAGGUCACACAGACCUCGCCCAAUCACUCGUGGUAAGUCUUCAGGUGACUUCCAAACCUUCACAAACUUGGUCACUCGGCUAUCCACAAUUCCUCUUGGAUGCUCUAGACCAUGAUGCCUAACCAUCUGGAAGAAGCACAAUCUUCAAUGGUAACAAGCGUCGGAUCCACGCAGGAUCAAUCUCUUCAGUGAUGCUCAAUCACUUUGGGUUUGUAGGUGUUUGGGUUUGGGUUUUUCCUCACUCGAUGAUUUUCGCUCAAAGUCCUUGGAGGAUGGGAUGCUCUCAAAUGACAAGUGUCAGUUUCUCUCGGAGCAGCCAACCAGCUAGUGGUUGUAGGGGGCGGCUAUUUAUAGCCUAGGGAGCAGCCCGACAUGAUAAGACAUAAAUGCCCUUCAAUGAUAUGACCGUUAGGUGGGUAGAUAUUUUGGGACAGAUGGCGCGUAGCACAACAACGGUCGGAAUUUUGAGUAUCAAAUUCCUCAGGGCUAUCAUGUUCCUCACUGUGUAGGCAAUCUGCACUGGCGAAUUCCUAACUCCUCAGUCAGAACAAAUUCCUCAGAGACUAGAAGAACUUUGUCUCUGUCACUGAAGAAUAUGACUGAUCUGUAUGAGAUUUCCAAUGGCUUCACUCGAAGGGAUUGGUAGGUGUAGGAUUUUGAGUUGAGCAUCACAUGGAAAUUUUUCCUUAGUAUUUCCUCGACCCCCUUUAACAGUACGGUGUUUCCUAUGACUCAAGAAAUAGAAAAUGAAACUACGAAAACAAAAGUCUUCACGCUUCAUGUUCCUCAAAUGAAUACCAAGUCUUCAAGGUCACACCAAUUUCUUCACUUUCAAAGUCUUCAGAAAGUCUUCAGAAAUCCAAAGUCUUCAGUCGAAGAACUUGAUUUUUAGGGGUCGAAUUUCUCUGUAAAUAUCAAAACUCCUCAUAGACAUAUAGACCUGUGUACACUCAUAAACGCAUUAGUCCCUGUCUUCAAUACACCAAAGUCACUAAGGGGCACUAGAUGCACUUACAAUCUCCCCCUUUUUGGUGAUUGAUGACAAUUAAUAUAGGUUAAGUUUUCAACGGGGAUAAACAUAUGAAGUGUAAAUACUGAUAUUGAGGAAUUUGAUUGCAAGAUAUAGAAGAACCCCCCUGAAGAUGUGCAUAGUGAGGAAUUUUCUUUUGAAGUAAUGCACACUUGAAGAGUAAAAUCAUGGAGAUCUCCCCCUAUAUCUUGUAAUUCAUACACGCAUUUGACAUAUAAUAUGAAGAAUUUGAAAUGCAUGAUGAAAUAUGGUGACUGAUGUAAUUCAGCAUGCGUGCAAUAACAUUAACGAGGAAUAAGCAUGCAGAAGAAACAGCAAAAGUAUCAGGCCACCAUAGAGUUUAAGUUUAAAACUCAAUCCAGCAAAGUCAUCAGAAGAACAAGAGUUGUAACUUAAGAAAAAACGCCCAUAUAUGAUAAACUCGCUUGAAGACUAACUCAAUUUUCUCCUCCUUUGUCAUCGAAUGACCAAAAGGAUCGAAAAUGAGGACUAACGCCCCUGAAGAAUAUCAAGUUGAUGGAGGAGCGCCAGCGUUGUUGGGGUCGUUUGUCGUAGUAGGGCCUGCCGCAGUGUCGUCCAAGUCUUCAUGCUCGUCGGUGUCGCGUGAUGAAGAAUAGGAGCUGGCCACCAAGGAAGGAACCUUGACCUUCUUGUAUUUCUUCGGUGGAGGUGCAGACCAGUCAAAGUCUUCCUUGAGACCCAUGUUCUUCAGAUCUUCUUCACCAUAUACAUUUGAUAGAAUAUCCCAAGUGCGAUCGAAGACUUCAUGGAGGUAGUAAUGGUUUUUCUUCACUGCAUUAUGUGUAGCAGUCAUGUUGUGAAGAAUUGAACCAAACUGACGCUUAACCCAUUUAUGGUUUCGAUCCACCUUCUGGUGAAGACUUUGCGGAAGCUCACGGUCAGUCAUCACACGAGGAGCAGUGGCUUCAGGAUUUGACUUGGACGCAUGGGCAGCAGAAUCAUGAGUGGCAGAGUCAUCAUUGGUGGAAUAAGAUGCAGCUUUGUGAAACUGACCAUCCAAUGGACGAAUGCCUUCAUCUAUGACAGCUGGUGCCUUGCCCUUUUCGUUAGUUGAGGAAUAGGUCCGCUUGAGGACUUCAAUCAGGGGCAAGUAGCUGAGGUGAUUCUGAAAAUCAGCCUUGUAGUUGAGUGAAGACCUUGUUCUGAGGAAUCUCAUAAUCCACGGUGCAUAAGGCUUCAGCUCAAAUGGUGAAAGUGCAACAUUUGCCAGAGUCCUCAUGAAGAAAUCAUGAUAGUUGACAGGAAUGCGAUGAAUGAUGUUGAAAACCAGAUUCUUCAUGAUGCCAACAAUUUCCUCAUCAGAUGAGUCGUGGCCUUUGAUUGGACUCAUAGUCUUCGUCAGAAUGCGAUAGACUGUCCUUGGUACAUACUGCAAUUCCUUCACGAGGAAUUUUGUCCUUGAGGCUUGACCGGGCUUCAAUGGCUUCAUCAGCACUUGCAUAUAGUGAUCUGUAAGCUCAGGCUCUUGGUACAUGCAACGAGCUCCUUCAGGUGGAGGACUGAUGCGCAGGGCGUGAAGUAAUUCACUGGGCGGUGCCUUAUAGUGAGUGUUCUCAGUCAUCCAGUCCAAAACCCAGGAGUUCACAUCGUCAGCAUCUCCUGUGAUGUGCAAUGUUGCGUAGAAUUGAAGAAUGAGUUCUUCAUUCCAAUCAACUAUGUCUGUGCAAAAGUUGAGGAGGCCUGUGUCAUGAAGCACACUGAGGACAGGUGUGAAGCAUGGAAGUGAUUCCAUGUCCACAUGAGGAAUAUGCUCGUGGUCGAAGACUUUGUCCUUGUUCAAGAGCAGUUAAGAAUAGAGUUUGGCCUGGCUGGCGGUCCAGAAGCGCUUCCUUCUAAGACGAGCAGAAUCAUAGGGAUUGUAGUCAGUGAAGAACACGUGCUCGCCGAAGAAAUCAUCAGCCUUGAAUUUCUGCUUCUUUGAGAAUGGAUCCUUUGGUUUGGGCUGAGGAGUAUCAGUCAAUUGCAUUAUGACCUCAGGAAUCGCAAUCUCAGGUUCUUCAUGCUGAGGAAUUUCAGCUUCUACUCCAGUGACAGCCUAGGUCUUCAAUUCUUCAUUUUCAUUUUCUUCAGCACUAGUGGCUGGAAUUUCUUCAUGGACAGACGGUGUGGCAUGUGGUUCAUCAGAUCCCAUUUGAACUGUAGUUGCUGGGGACUGAGGAAUUUGUUGCAAUGGUGUGAAGAGUGGAGAGUUGGGGUGCUGACUUUCCCAAAAGUCAUCAUUCAGCACAGGUGUGGUAUAACCAAUGUCCACAUCUUCAUCUUCCAUUUCUUCAACGCCGGCCUCUUCAGCAGUAAACUGAGGCAUAGGCGAGGAAACAGCUGGAGUUGAAGGGAUUUCAUCCACUUCAAUUUCUUCAUCCAUCUGCUCUGACGUAGCAGCAGAAGGACUUUCUUCAUCAGAUCCGCUAGGGAUCACGUAUUCUUCAUCAAAAGGGACGAUUUCCUUUGAUGGCAUGGUUGAGAUAGGAACAACAUCAAUGGGGUUUGCAAAAGAGCUGGUCAUAGACUUCAUUUUCUUCGGAGCUGAAGAAGCUGAUGCCUUCCUUUUCUUCACUGCUGCACGCUUUGCAGCCUUGGUCUUCUUCACAUCUGAUGCAGAUGGAAAGAUUGGAGUUGGAGUAGGCGCAGGAGGAGCAGAGGAAUGUGGUUGAUUUUCUUCAGGCACAACUGAUGCAGUUGCCCUGACCUCUUCAUUUUCUUCAGGCGCACCACUAGUGGAUGCCUUGGCAAUUUCAUCAGCGGCUGGGAUGCAGUCAUCAGCCCUGGAACUCACAUUUUCCUCAGCAGCCUGAAUGUCAUCAGCGGUGCUGGCAUGUUCUUCAGUCGGCUGAGCAGAUGCUUCAGCCUGAGGAAUUUCUCGUUGCGUUGGAGCUGCAACAUUGGAGGUGAACUUCUUAGUCAGUUUUACAAACCUGACCUUGGCUCCUUGCCAAUCAACAUAGUAAGCAUUGAAAUCAUCGCUGAGGAUUUUGAUUUCAGACUGGAUCUUCACAAGAUCAUCAGUUGUCAUAGAGACAACAUUGUUCUUCAGGAUUCCUUCCUGUACUGCUCUUUCUUGAUCUGCCUGGCCUUCUUAAAUUUCCAUUUCUCUUCUUGGAUGAAGGCAGUCAGCAUAUGACUUUGGCCAGGAGUCAACUUGAAGUCAGGCAUAGGAGUGUUUGGGUCCUUGUGCCAGAGAUCAAUGUAGUCGAGGAUCAACUUUGGAUCCAAAAGCAGUGGCACAUUUGUGCCCUUGGCCCUAACGGCCCUGACCUGCCUAUCUCUGAUGAUUUCAGCAAGUUCUUCAUCAUCAGCUUCGUCUUCAUCAGACGGCACUUGGAAGGCGACUUGCUUCUUGUGAGGACUUGGGCGAGAGCCUCAUCCAGCAGUGGCCUUUGUCUUCAGCAGAGAGGGUCUUGUUGAAGAAUUUGGUGCAACUGAGGAACUAGCAGAAGCUCCUGAGGCAAUAGAGAUGCCCGUCGUCCUUUGACACAUGGUAAGAUGCACAGGUGCUGAGGACUUGGUUAGAGCAACUGAGGACUUUGGAGGAGCAGGAGCAGCGUGAGGAAUUUGCCAUGAGGGCUUUGAGGAUUCUGGCCGUGAGGGCAUUGCUGAGGAACUUGGCCUUGAGGGCAUUGAAGGUGAAGCACUUGGCUUGUGCGCAGGCUUCUUUGCCAUGGAUUUCUUCGGCUUGACAGAGGCCUCAGCGGCAGCAGCAGCAUCAGAGUCUUCGUUGAAUUUCCUCACUGCUUCUCUGGCUUGUCUAGCCAGCUUGGCCUGGCGCUUGGCCCAUUCAUCAGGAUAAUCCUAACCACGCUUGAGGCUGGGGGGAUCCACUUCUUGACCAGGUGCCGACGGAGGUCUUGGGCAUGGAGGAUUUAGUGCGAAUUUCUUCAUGUAUUUGGGAGUAACAUACCUGUACUCCCUCCACUCCCUUGCCCAUCUCCUCUCUAUCCUCUGUAUGCGCACCUUGCGUUGAUUCUUGUCCUCUUUUCCAAAUUUAGCCUCAUCAGGAGUGCAGUAAUCCUUAUAUAUGUCAUCAGGGAUUUCAAAGGCAGUAUUGAUUUCAGGCCUCUUUCCUCCUUUCUGUGGCUUUUUACCGUCAGCCAUUUUCUUCAGCUGAGGAAUUUGAACAAUGGAAUUCUCUGAAGAUGUAUGCAACUUUUCUUCGAGGUACGCUGCAAAUGAGUUAAGUUGAUGAGAACCUAGUGAUUCAGCAGCGGACAUGAGUACCUGUGAACAGAGUAUAAUUGCGAGGAAUUUGGAGAGGUCAUAUGCGUUCUCAGAAGGUUUUGUAAAAAGAACAAGUUUGAGGAAUUUGACCAGAUGAGUCUUGAAGAAUUUCACUAAGCGUUCUUUGUCUUAGGUUCCAGAGUUGUAUAGAUCAAGGAUCCACACAAUUAAGGAAUCUUGAAGAAAAAUUAUUGCUUAGAGAAACGAAUCAAGAACAGAUGACAUGUGAGGUGUUUAGUGUGUGAGGAUUUGAAGAAAAACACCUUUGAAGAUUUUGUAGUAAUCAUUUGAAUCAAAGAGGGCAGUAAAAGUAACUUUUAAUUACCCUGGACGAAGAACACGACAAACUGGGAGGUGGAGAUGUGAAGUUCGUUAGUGCAGAUCUUCCACGCCCUAACUCGGCGGAGGAAGACGGCUACGGCGGCAUCAGAGUCAAGAUUUCCGCGGCCGGCGCGAGUACGACAGCGACGAGGUCGAGGCAGUGAAGCUCUUCCUCACCGGCGACGAUAAAGUAGUGGCGGCGCUAGGGUUUGAGAAGCUCGAGCUGGAGAGAGGUCGAGCGGACUAAAGGAAGUGAGGAAGGGGAGGGGGGUAUUUAUAGCCACGGUGAAAAACUGUUCGCCCGAAGAAAUUGGACGAACGUGCCCCUGACCCUUCUCAUUCGCUUGACAUGUGUCACCCACGUACUGAGAAGUGGAGAUCGUGUGCAAUUGUGGGUGAAUAGAUAAGUAUUUCGUGGGAUGCGGAAUGGUUUGAGCGGCAAAGCCGAAAAUUUGGAUAAGAUAAGUUUUAAUGUUCCGUUCACAAAUUCUUCAGCUGACAAGGACACAGUGAAGAUUUUGAACGAGUUUCAAAUAGAACGCACAUGGAGAAUUUGUGAAAAGAUUGGGUUGAGUUUAGCAUAGAGGGGGAAGGGUCCGAUCACAUUCACUUAACAGAAAAAGCAACUUGAAGAAUUAGCCAUAAGUGAAUGCUGUAGAGGACAUAAACUCAUAUAUAUAUAGCCAACGAAGAAAAAGACGGAAACAGUGAAGACAAUGCAAAGUUGAAGAAAAUGAACAACUGAGGAAUUUCAAAACUGAGGAAAAACUCAAAUUGAAGAUUUUCAACUUUUGGUGGUGGCGUGACCCACCGUAUGAGAAUGAUGAUUUCAGACACCACAUACAAUUGUCAUAGGGUUCUGAGAAUCAAAUUCUUCGUUAAUUUCUUCACACUUAGAGUGUUAUUUGUCACGACCAGUUUUCCAAUAAAACAUUUAUUGAGAAACCGAUCCCUUUAACGGACCAGUAGAGAAGAAUCCUUCUUACUGGUAGACAAAUUCUUGAUUACAGAAAAAAUCCAGGAGUACUAAAUAUAAUACAAGGUUGAGCGGAGGCUGCUCAACAAUUUAUUACAAGUACGCCGAUAUUAUACAUAAAGGCGGAUAUGACACAAGGGGUAUGGUGGCAUAACUACUGACUCGUAAUAAAAGUGGUGGUGGAUAUGUCACAGAGAAGUGGGUGACAGGACUCCUAAAUCUUACAGCUCAUCGAGCGUCGGAGUGAGGCUCGAGGACUUUUUUAUUGUGGGUAGCGGAAGCGUAUAUAAUACAAGUGACCAAUUCCAGGAUCGCACGGGACUGACUGGGACUCCUCUAGGCGUCGGACUUGCUAUCGAACUCAUCAUCCAUGAGAUCGCCUUCGUCAACAUCUGGCCAAAUCAACAAGCCAGGUGAGUACUAUGAAAGUACUCGCAAGACAGUUUGGACAUAAGAUAUAACAAAUGCAAACAUGAUGCAUACGAGCAGAUUAGUAAUGCGCACUCAGAUAAUAAAAUUUGCACUGCAUGAGAAAUAAAAAGGAAGUCGGGCGGUAGUCCUCCCGAAAUCCCAAUAAAAUACUAAAGGCCAAUCGAGUGUCUGAAAUGACGCCUCGAAAGGGUACAAAUAAAUUAAUAAUGCCGCAGUCGGGCGUCAGGGCGACACCACAUAAAGGGCUUAUAUUGGAAUAUAAACGACAGUGCGUGCCACAGUCGGACGUCUGAGCGACAUCACAUAAAGGGCUUAUAUCAAAAGUAAAUAACGAGAGUGCCACAGUCGAACGUCUGAGCGACAUCACAUAAAGGGCUUAUAUCAAAAGUAAAUAACGAGAGUGCCACAGUCGGACGUCUGAGCGACAUCACAUAAAGGGCUUAUAUCAAAAGUAAAUAACAAGAGUGCCACAGUCGGACGUCUGAGCGACAUCACAUAAAGGGCUUAUAUUUCAUAACUCGAUAUUCCAGUAGCUCAUGAAUUUAAAUCAUCUCAAGGAAAUACUCAGGUACGAAAUAAUAAAGUGGUUAGUCCAUCGCAGGAAUAACAUUCAAUCUGGGUUACCACUCAAGCUUGUUCACCGGGGAUUUUCACUGAGACCGACACAGGGAUUGACGUGGAUAUUGAUAUGGAUAUGUUGACCAAGGUCCUUGACCAUGGACACAAAUUUCUCGGAAGGUUUUAACUCUGCAGAGUUUGUACUUUUAACCACAGCCAACAGAUUUCGGUAGCCACAAAGGACUAGUUCCGUUUACGGUAUUUUAGGAGAAACACAUCUAACCAGUACACACCCAUUCCACAUUCCGUUGCCAGGAAUCACCCUAGGCAACGUUCAAGAAAAACCUUGAGACGGGGAGGCUACAACCUCGCGUAGCAUGGGAUCAAAUUUGUAUCGCGCGCUCUAAGGGGUGCCCCCCUCUCGGUCCCAACCGGAAACACCCAUGUCCCCUGACCGGAUGACUGGCUUUAAUCCAGGGCCAUGGAACCCUCAUCCCGGCCCCUCUGUUUGUUGUGUACACGGAAAGAGGUUUGCAACUUACUAAGCCGUAUUCUUUGCAGAAAACAUGUGGCAGCACGAAAAGGGAACGAACGGUAACGUGGCUCGGUCCACGUUAACGUCGGAGUUUAACGGUUGACAUAAGACUGGCAUGCUACAACAAUACCAUCUUACUACCUCUCAUGUCACCACAUGAUCAGGUCAUCUCCCAUCAAAAGAUCACAUCAAACUUCGAAGCACACGGGUAGUUGCCUUGCAUGCAACGUAACACUCACCGAUGCCCAUAUGCCAUGCACAAACUAUUCAAGCAAACAUGCAAACACUCAUCAUAUCAAAGGUUCAAACAUGCUUGCCUGGUUCGGAGAAGUCGGAGUCUAGCUCGGCGAAGUUCGCGGCUCCGUUACCUCCUCCGGUAUCUACGGUAUAAAGAAACCGUAUACUAACGUGAAUACUGUUGCGUGUAUAAAAAUUAUUCCAAUUUUUUUCCAAAUAAAUACUAUAAAAAACUAGACAAAGAUAUAAGACUAACAAAAAAAGAAUCAAUCAAAAAGCAUCUUUUGUUUAAAAGAUAUAAAGGUUUUAGUCCAAGGACUAAUCUGUGAUGCAACAGAAAAGAUCCAGGGGCUUGUUUGAAAAAGCAGAAAACACUUCAGUAUGAAAUACGCCAGCCAAGAAGGAAAACACACUUUGCCCGAAGGCGCCUUUAGAAAAACGGUUCGAGGAAAAGAAAGAGAGGCUGACGGGGGGUCCCACCCGUCAGGUUCAAACUCGAACAGAGCUCGCCGGCGCCCGAGGGCUGCGGUGGUCGCCGGCGUUGAUCCACGGCGGGGUAGGGGGAUCGGAGGGUACCUACGGGUUCAGGGUGUCCUUCCGCGUCGGUGGGUGGUGGACUUGGCCGUCGGCGAGCACCACGUCGACGGCGACCUUAUCUCCGGCGGACGGUGGUUCGGGCGAGGAUGAAACUCUCCGGUGGGUGCUGCAAACUUCAAAUUUGGGCGCGGGGUUAGAGAGGUGGAUGCACUAGGAGGCUACUGGCAUGUGUUGAGAGGCGGGGGUGCACGCACUGGAGCGAAUCUUGCCGGAUCCCGAAGCGGGUCGAGGCGGCCGGAGUUGGGGAAGAAGACCUCCUCGAGGCCUUCCCAGUGGCUUGGCAUGGAUCUUGUGGGGUGGAGUGAUGGUGCGUGGUCGAGUUCGAGCUCGGGACCUCCUUUUAUAGUCGAUCCGAGGAGGUGGCCGUGAACGGGAUAACGCCGGCGAGCAAUUACGGCGGGGCAGAGGUCGGGCAGGAGGUUUAGGUGAUUUGGCAUCAUCGUGGUGGUCCACUGGUACCGUUUCUUAGCUAAAACCUCAGUCGGUCCUGGGUAAUACUCCGGCCCUCGACGGAACGGCCGUACGGGCACGACGGCGGCAGGGAGCGCGCUCCGUGCCUCCCAGUUCACGAUGACGGCUCUGCAGUGUGCACAGAGGAGGGGACGGCCACGCGGUGGCCUCUGGUGGCUUGGGCGGUGCUGGACAGCGCCGUCCCUCGCUGCGUCUCUCUGGCAGCCGCAGCGGGCGCUGCUGCCGCCGCGCACGGGGUGAUGCACCUCGGCCAGCUCGCCGCCGACGCCCGCAACCUUCCAAGCGAACGUGCGGCACGGUGGAUAAGAAGGAGGAACAUGGAGCAAGGCGCCACUGCAGCUACUGGCGAGAUCGACGAGAGUCUCUGAAGAAAACGACAUCGGCUACUGAAACUGUUUUCUGAACUCUGAACUUCGACAAUAACAGUGUACGCCAGGUGUUCGAUGAUAUGAUUUGGGCACGAGGAAAAACUUUCUGGAGCCGGGACUUGGUGAGGUGACCUCUUGAUGCAUCUAGAGGCUGCCUGAAUUUUCUCAGAUUUUUAGGAGGAGAAAACAAAUGAAUUUCACCAAAUUUUGCAAAUAUGGCCCAAACUUGCAGCAAGCACAUUUUGAAAAUUUUGAAUUGGGGACCAGUGGUUCUUCCUGGAUCUUGGUUGAGGGUCCUAAGGACUAGCCAGGGAAACUUGUUUGGAGGCAAAACUCAAAGGAAAACUAGUGGUUCCUUUGUAAAUUUCUAAGGGCCAAAAUAGGAGACAGAAAAGAUUUUGAUUAAAAAUAAAUGGAGAUAAAAAUCAUGGGGAAGUUUAACUUGCUGGAUUGGAAGUUUGACUUGACACAAAGUGGGGAGAUGGCCUUUGGGAGGAGUUUUCAACUUAGGUUAUGGCAAGAGAUAAGUUUUCAAAGGGAAAGGAUCACCCCAUAAGCCAUAGGGCUAUUUAUAAAGAAAAGAUUUUCAAAAACUUUCCCAAGGAAAAACACUUGUGUUGAGUCAACACAAGAUGAAAAACCUCCAAGACCAAAGAUCAAGUCUUGGAUGAACCCAAACAAAAUACUUGUCAUAAAAGAAAUUUUUUGAGAAGGAGAGUCCUUUUAAAAAAAAAUUUAAAUAACCUUCUUCAAAUCAAAUAAAGAUUUUGAUAAAACCAAAUAAAAUUUUUGGGUGUCACAUUAUUCUUCAUUGAUUGAAGAAAAACGUUUCUUCAUGUGUUGCACAUCUAAGUCAUCAAUUUUGCAUAAGUGUUAGGACGAGUGUCCUUUUCAAAGAACAUUCAAAGAUUCUAAGAUAUUUAGCUCACACCGCAACUUGCUAAAUCUCUUCUCAUCCAAGGGCUUUGUGAAGAUAUCGGCUACCUAUUCUUCAGUCUUCACAUGCUCAAUAGAAAUGUCGCCCUUCAACACAUGAUCGCGAAGAAAAUGAUGACGAAUCUGAAUGUGCUUUGUCUUCGAGUGCUGAACUGGGUUGUGAGUAAUCUUGAUGGCACUCUCAUUGUCACAAAAGAGAGGCACAUUCUUCACGUUGACGCCGUAGUCCUUGAGAGUUUGCUUCAUCCACAACAAUUGAGCACAACAAGAACCAACAGCAAUGUACUCAGCUUCAGCAGUAGACAGUGAUACGCAGUUCUGUUUCUUCGAGGACCAACAGACCAAAGAUCGUCCGAGGAAAUGACAUAUACCAGAUGUUGACUUGCGGUCCACAUGAUCGCCAGCAUAGUCAGAGUCAGAAUAUCCAAUGAGAUCAAAAGCCGAGCCCUUGGGGUACCAUAAUCCAAGUGUUGGUGUGUGAGCUAGAUAUCGAAGAAUAUGCUUCACAACCUUAUGGUGUGAUUCCUUCGGUGUAGCUUGAAAUCGGGCACACAUGCAAACACUAAGAAUUAUAUCUAGCCUAGAUGCACAUAAGUACAAUAAAGAACCAAUCAUGGAGCGGUAUACCUUAUGAACGAAGUCAAUACCAUUUUCAUCAGUGCAUAGAUGGCCAUUUGUGGGCAUAGGAAUUUUGACGCCUUUGCAAUCUUGCAUGCCGAAUUUUCUCAGUACAUCCUUGAGGUAUUUCUCCUGAGAUAUGAAUAUGCCAUUGCGCCAUUGACGAAUUUGAAGACCUAAGAAGAAUUUCAACUCUCCCAUCAUAGACAUUUGAUAUUCUUCACUCAUCAUAUAGGCAAAUUCAUCACUAUAACGUUGGUCAGUACAGCCAAAGAUAAUAUCAUCAACAUAUAUUUGGCACACAAACAGUUCACCAUCAUAAGAUUUAGUGAAAAGAGUAGGGUCGAGUGAACUGGGUUUGAAGCCUUUCUUCAUGAGGAAUUCCUUCAAAGUAUCAUACCACGCCCGAGGUGCCUGCUUGAGGCCAUAGAGGGCCUUAUUGAGUCUGAAGACUUUGUCAGGAUUCUUUGGAUCUUCAAAACCUGGGGGUUGAGCAACAUAUACUUCUUCCUCAAGCUUACCAUUGAGGAAUGCACUUUUCACAUCCAUUUGAUAUAGAGUAAUAUCAUGAUGGUUACACUAGUAGAAAACAGGGCUUUCGUUCGGGCAUGGCAAGCCCAUUAGUCCCGGUUCAGUCACAAACCGGGACCCAUGGGGGCAUUUGUCCCGGUUCGUGAGCCCAGGAGGCCGGCCGGGGCCUCGUGGGCAUUGGUCCCGGUUCGUAUGGAACCAUUUGUCCCGGUUCGAGGCACGAACCGGGACUAAUGGGCCUCGCUCCUGGCCCACAACCAUUGGUCCCAGUUCUUGGCAUGAACCGGGACAGAAGGCCCGGAUUUAGUACCGGUUCUAGCCACGAACCGGGACAAAUGAGCUGCCUAUAUAUACCCCAUCGCCGCAGCAGAGCACUCCACAGUGCUCUAUUUUUUCUGGCCGUCGAGGGGAGGGCAUUUGGGUGCUCUAGCUCACCUCCUAUGCACAUGAGGUGUUCGAUGAAAUGUCUGAGCCACACUAGUUAAUCUUUCUCCUCUCGAAACUCGACCUCCGAGCUCCAUUUUCCCCAAGAUUUGUCUAGGUUUAGCGGUCCGUCACGUCCCGUCCCUGUCUUUACCGCCGUCGAUUGCCCGCGCCGAUCUCGUCGCCAGCACCACCGUGGUGAGCCUCUUGUUCUUAUCUUCUUUCUGAAAGAAAAAAAAAUUCUUACUUCAGAUAGAUACUUGUCUAAUUUUGUUACUUUUAUUAUUCCUUCUUAUUAUAUAGUGCGAUGGUUUUGGUAUCCGCCCCCGUCAGCCCUUGUCCUGUCUAUGAUUCGGAUGUGGUAUAUAUUAUCUUUUUAUAACUAUUUGGUUCAUUUAUUGUUUAUGACAAUUAUGCUGACCAACGUGUCAUAGAUUUUAUUUAUCUAGGAGGUGGUUGAACCGGAAAUUCCAACCGACCCUAUUGUCGAGAGGUUAAAUUUAGUUGAAGAAGAAAACAAUUACUUGAAGGAAAAAAUAAAAUAAAUUGAGGAGGAGAAGAUGAUAUUGGAGUUGCAUGUUGCGGAUGUCGUCGAUGAUCACAAGAUCAAGAUGGAUGCAAUGCGCUUGAAGAUUAGAAAGAUUAGAAAAUAUGCCAUUCAUACCGAGGCUUGGUAUCAUUAUGCCGUUGGAUCAAUUGUUACCUUGGUUGCGAUUAUGAUCGCAUUUGUUUUCGCAUUGAAAUGUUUUACAUAGUUUCAAUGUAUGGUUUAAUUAAUUAGAUGCUCUGGAGAGCUAUAUGUUGUUAGAUGAGAACUAUGUAUGUACUUUGGUUUUAAUGUGAUGAUGAACUUCUAUUAAUUUGGUCACUUAAUUAUCUAUUCAUGAUGUUCUAUAAUGGUUUUUGACACACUUAAUUAUAUAUAAUGCACGCAGAUGAACCGGCAAUGGAUGUACGGUGACAGACACACCUCCGAGUACAUUAAGGGCGUGCAUGAUUUUCUCGAAGUGGCUGAGGCAAACAAGCAGAAUGGUUAUAUGUGUUGUCCAUGCCCUACAUGUGGGAAUACGAAGUCUUACUCUGACCGGAAAAUCCUUCACACCCACCUGCUUUACAAGGCUUUCAUGCCACACUAUAAUGUUUGGACGAGGCACGGAGAAAUAGGGGUUAUGAUGGAAGACGGCGAAGAAGAAGAGGACGAUGACAACUAUGUGCCCCCUGAAUACAGUGAUGCUGCAACGGGGGAAGCUGCUGAAGAUCAAGAGGAACCAGACGAUGUGCCCAAUGAUGCUGCAACGGGGGAAGCUGCUGAAGAUCAAGAGGAACCAGUGUCCGAUGAUGAUGAUCUCCGCCGGGUCAUUGUCGAUGCAAGGACGCAAUGCGAAAGUCAAAAGGAGAAGCUAAAGUUCGAUCGCAUGUUAGAGGAUCACAAAAAAGGGUUGUACCCCAAUUGCGAAGAUGGAAACACAAAGCUCGGUACCAUACUGGAAUUGCUGCAGUGGAAGGCAGAGAAUGCUGUGCCUGACAAAGGAUUUGAGAAGCUAUUGAAAAUAUUGAAGAAGAAGCUUCGAAAGGAUAACGAAUUGCCCGACAGUACAUACGCAGCAAAGAAGGUCGUAUGCCCUCUAGGAUUGGAGGUGCAGAAGAUACAUGCAUGCCCUAAUGACUGCAUACAAGGAUCUGAACGCAUGCCCGGUAUGCGGUGCAUUGCGGUAUAAGAUUAGACGAGAUGACCCUGGUGAUGUUGACGGCAAGCCCCCCAGGAAGAGGGUUCCUGCGAAGGUGAUGUGGUAUGCUCCUAUAAUACCACGGUUGAAACGUCUGUUCAGAAACGAAGAGCAUGCCAAGUUGAUGCGAUGGCACAGUGAGGACCGUAAGAAAGACGGGAAGUUGAGAGCACCCGCUGACGGGUCGCAGUGGAGAAAAAUCGAGAGAAAGUACUAGGCUAAGUUUGCAGCUGACCCAAGGAACGUAUGGUUUGGUUUAAGCGCGGAUGGCAUUAAUCCUUUCGGGGAGCAGAGCAGCAAUCACAGCACCUGGCCCGUGACUGUAUAUAUGUAUAACCUUCCUCCUUGGAUGUGCAUGAAGCGGAAGUCCAUUAUGAUGCCAGUUCUCAUCCAAGGCCCUAAGCAACCCGACAACGACAUUGAUGUGUACCUAAGGCCAUUAGUUGAAGAACUUUUACAGCUAUGGAAUGGAAACGGUGUACGUACGUGGGAUGAGCACAAACAGGAGGAAUUUAACCUGCACGCGUUGCUGUUUGUAACCAUCAACGAUUGGCCCGCUCUCAGUAACCUUUCAGGACAGACAAACAAGGGAUACCACGCAUGCACGCACUGUUUAGAUGACACUGAAAGUAUAUACCUGGACAAAUGCAGGAAGAAUGUGUACCUGGGCCAUCGUCGAUUUCUUCCGACCAACCAUCAAUGUCGAAAGAAAGGCAAGCAUUUCAAAGGCGAGGCAGAUCACUGGAAGAAGCCCGCCAUGCGUACCGGUGAUCACGUACUUGCUAUGGUCAAUGAUUUACACGUAAUCUUUGGAAAGGGUCCCGACGGACUAGUUGUUCCGAAUGACGCUGAGGGACACACACCCAUGUGGAAGAAGAAAUCUAUAUUUUGGGACCUACCCGACUGGAAAGACCUAGAGGUCCGCUCUUCAAUCAACGUGAUGCACGUGGCGAAGAACCUUCACGUGAACCUGCUAGGCUUCUUGGGCGUGUAUGGGAAGACAAAAGAUACACCUGAGGCACGGGAGGACAUGCAACGUUUGCACGAAAAAGACGGCAUGCCUCCGAAGCAGUAUGAAGGUCCUGCCAGCUACGCUCUUACGAAAGAAGAGAAAGAAAUCUUCUUUGAAUGCCUGCUCAGUAUGAAGGUCCCGACUGGCUUCUCGUCAAAUAUAAAGGGAAUGAUAAAUAUGCCAGAGAAAAAGUUCCAGAACCUAAAGUCUCAUGACUGCCACGUGAUUAUGACGCAACUGCUUCUGGUUGCAUUGAGGGGGCUUCUACCGAAAAACGUCCGAUUAGCCAUUGUGAAGCUAUGUGCAUUCCUCAAUGCAAUCUCUCAGAAGGUGAUCGAUCCAGAAAUCAUACCAAGGCUAAGGAGUGAUGUGGUGCAAUGUCUUGUCGGUUUCGAGCUGGUGUUCCCACCAUCCUUCUUCAAUAUCAUGAUGCACGUCCUAGUUCAUCUAGUCGACGAGAUUGUCAUUCUGGGCCCGUAUUUCUACACAAUAUGUUCCCCUUUGAGAGGUUCAUGGGAGUCCUAAAGAAAUAUGUCCAUAAUCGCGCUAGGCCAGAAGGAAGAAUCUCCAUGGGCCAUCAAACAGAGGAUGUCAUUGGGUUUUGUGUUGACUUCAUUCCUGGCCUUAAGAAGAUAGGUCUCCCUAAAUCGCGGUAUGAGGGGAGACUGACUGGAAAAGGCACGCUAGGAGCGAACUCAAUAAUAUGCAGGGACGGGCAUUCUUGGUCUCACGCACACUACACAGUUCUACAGAACUCUACCUUGGUGACCCCGUAUGUCGAUGAACACAAGAAAAGUCUGCGCUCCAAACACCCGGAGCAGUGUGACGACUGGAUUACAUGUGAACACAUCAGGACUUUCAGCAGUUGGUUGGAAACACGUCUCAGAGGUGACACCACUAUUUGUGAUGAGUUGUACUCGUUGUCCAGGGGACCAUCUUCAACUGUAUUGACUAACAAAGGAUACGAGAUAAAUGGGAAUACAUUUUACACGAUCGCCCAAGAUCAAAAGAGCACCAACCAAAACAGCGGUGUCCGCUUUGAUGCAGCAACCGAUAGGGGAAAGGACACAUAUUAUGGUUACACAAUGGACAUAUGGGAACUUGACUACGAACAUGAUUUUAAGGUCCCUUUGUUUAAGUGCAAAUGGGUCAAUCUGUCAGGAGACGGGGUACAUGUAGACCCACAGUACGGAAUGACAACAGUGGAUCUGAACAAUCUUGGGUACACUGAUGAACCGUUCGUCCUAGCCAAUGAUGUGGCACAGGUUAUCUAUGUGAAGGACAUGUCUACCAGACCGAGAAAAAGAAAAGAUAAGGAAGCGAAUACAUCAUAAGAUGAGCCAAAGCACCACAUAGUUCUUUCAGGAAAAAGGGACAUUGUGGGAGUGGAGGGCAAGACAGACAUGUCUGAAGAUUACGAAAAGUUUCAUGAAAUUGCUCCCAUCAAAGUCAAGGCUGACCCAAGCAUCCUGAUAAACGAUGAAGAUUAUCCAUGGUUACGGCGCAAUAAGCAAAUGACACAAGCGAAGAAAAAGUGAAGACUUUCUCCCGCAACUAUUAUGAUGAUACCAUGCCAACUUUGUAAUAGACGAGUAUGAUACCAUUGUCCGUUUUGUACACGAAGUGCAUCUAGUUUUUGCCGUAACCCUCUCAACUUUCUUGCACAUGCUAUGUGGAUGAAAUGAUGAUACCAUGCCAACUUUCAACCUUUUCAGAGUUCAUUUGAAAUGCUUUUCAAUUUUAGGGUCUUAUAGCUCAAAAUAAUUAGUAAAUGCAUGAAAAAUGGUGCAUGAAAAAUAACAAAUAAAAUAAAUAAGUAAUUAGAAACAAAAUAAAAUAAACUUUAUUAAAAUAUAUAAGUAGAAACAAAAUAAAAGAAACUUUAAUAAAAUUUAUGAAACUAAAAUUAACAAAGUAUUUUCUGUUCAAAACAUUAUAAGAAACCUCUAGUAUUAUUGAAACUAAAAUCAUAUAAAAUUGAUGCAACUAAAAUUAUCGAAGUAUUUUCUGUUCAAAAUCAUUAAAAGCAAAAAGAAUUUUCAUAAAGAACUUUUUUUGAUAGAAACUUUAAUAGCAAAAAGAAUUAUCAUAAAGUAAAAUAAAUAAGUAAUUAGAAACAAAAUAAAAUAAAAUAAAUAAGUAUUUUGUUGUAAGUAGAAACAAAAUAAAAUAAAUAAAGCAAAAAAGAAAACAAAAAAACUGAGAAAAAAUAAAAAAUGCCACCUACUGGGCCACGACGGCGUGAAUACGACUAGAAACCCAUCCAUGGGCCAGGAUUCAGGCCCGCAGAAGGCCCAGCAGGCCCACAGGCAUAGCAGUGCAAGAUUAGGCCUAGAGGCCUGCAGUUCAGAGGAGUUCAAUGGAGAUGGUGGAGGAGGGCUUAUGAAUAGGUCCUGCUGCUCCUCGGCUAGCGAGGUGGGACUAAACAUCCCAACGCACCGCGGCUUUGGCAGGCGCAGGACAUUGGUCCCGGUUGGUGCCACGAACCGGGACCAAUGCACACCUUUGGUCCUGGUUGGUGGCACCAACCGGGACCAAUGCCCCACCUUUAGUCCCGGUUGGUGCCACCAACCGGGACCAAAGGCCGCCGCUUCCCGCCCUUUGGGCUGCUGAAAAUAGACCUUUGGUCCCGGUUGGUGGCACGAACCGGGACCAAAGCUCUGGGUAUAUAACCAACACUUGUGAAAAUUUUCAUCUUCAUCUCGCAGUUGCCCCUGACGACCCCUUGACGACAUCGACGCCGCCAGGCUGCCCCGACGCCGCCCGCCGCCCCCGCCGUCACCGUCGCCCGCGCCCAUCGUCGCCCUCGCCGUCGCCCACUACACCACGGUCAAGUUUCGGCGACACAUAAAUCUGUUGGCAUAGGGUACCUUUGCCGACACAUAGCUUGUCGCUAACACAUAUGCUGACAAAAGAGAAAACAGUCGGAGGACUUGCUGUGGGGAAAGGCAUUGCCGACAGAAGUUCACUUGCCGACACUUUUUCAGACAGUAUACACCCUACCUACGCCGACAGUUUGCUUGUGGACAUACACCCUACGUACCCCGACAUAUGGUUUGUGGGCAUACAUCCUAGGUACGCCGACAGUUGAGGUGUGCACUUACACCCUACUUUUGUCGACACUUAUGCUGUUCUUCUAGGUAUAUAUCUAUCCCGACACAUAUUCUGUUUGGAUAUAUUUGCACCUUUGCCGACACUUAUGCUGUCUAUAUAGGUAUAUAUCUUGGCCAACAGAUAGUCUGUUCGUCUAGGUAUGUAUGUUUGCUGACACAUUUCAUGCCUAGCUAGCUAGUAGCCAUGGCCGACUGUUGCGCUGCAAGAAUUUGUUUACCAACAGAUAACUUGUUAGUAUGUAGUGCACAGCCAAACCAAUAAUUUCACAUAUAUACUGAAAUGCAAUCGAUAAACAACAUCAACAUGGACACAUUGGACAACAAUGAUUAUAGGUUCACAAAUAGACAUAUACUGGCAUAGGUUCACAAACAGACAUAUACUGACAUAGGUUCACAAAUAGACAUAUAUAUAGACAUAGGUUCACAAGCACAACCAGAAGUAUAGCUUAACCAUCCAGAACACACAAGUCACAUAAAAAGGACCACUGCUUGUUCGAUGAAAUAAUUCAAACACUAAUCCAGAGCACACAAGUCACAUCCAUGAGCACAAAGUUUCUACUCCAAAACACUUGAAGCACCAAAUGGUCCGAAACACACAUCAGAUUCGUGACAUGAUUGAAGUUGGCUUCCAAAUACUGCGCACAACCAUGUAUGUUCCAUGAUACUCCAAGUCCUCCUCACAUCCAAUGCUAGGUGGCUAAGUACCUGAAAAUAUUGCAUACGAAUUUGUCAAGAAUUGUCAAGAAAGUGUAAUCAACUGAAAAGUUGUUCAAAGCUCCUGAACAGUGAUAUGGCAUUAGUGUACUAUUAUUACUAUCAUUACUAGUACACUGGCACUAUGCACAUCUAGUCUAUUGUAAGCAUAUUUGCAAAAUUCAUUUGCAAAAAAAAUAGGUUGCUAUAAGACUUUGUUUAGAAGAUCACCUUUCUACUGACCACAUGCUCCGGAAGUGUACUGGGCCACCAAUUCUAACUUGGGCAGGCAAAUGAACCAUCAAGUGGACCAUGACAUCAAAAAAACUUGGCAGGAAUAUAGUUUCAAGUAUGCUUAAGGUCUCAGCUAUUUCAGCCUCUAGAAUUUGCAUAUCACUGACACGGAUAACAGGUGAGCAAAUCUUUUUGAAGAAGUUACUAACACGAGUCAAUGCAGCACAUACUCUUGUUGGCAAUAUUUUUCGAAUCGCAAGCGGAAGAAGGUGCUGCAGCAGAAUGUGAUUAUCAUGGCUCUUCAGUCCAGAAAUCUUCUUCUCGCCAACAUGGAUAUAACGUCGUAUAUCAGUUGCAAAGCCUUGUGGAAACUUGACUCCCAUCAAGACUUGGAGAAAAUGUUUCAUCUGAUCGGGUGUCAAAGUAUAUUGUGCUGGAGGUAUAUACAAUUUACCCUCUUCUACUUCAACAGGAUGCAGGUCCCCCAUAACACCCAAAGCUUGGAUGUCUAAGCGAGAAUUUGCGUUAUCCUUUGAUUUUCCCUCAAGGCCUAGAAGUGUGUUAACUAUGUUAUCACAUACAUUUUUUUCUAUAUGCAUAACAUCAAAAUUAUGACGCAACAUCAGAUCUUUCCAAUAGGGCAACUUAAACCACACAGAUCUUCUUUUAUACAAGGGAGGGGAUUCACCUUCUUUGCGUUUUCUCUUUGUUGUCUUCUUGGCAGCUGGAUCUUUUCCAAAGGAUGUUUCAAGAUUUGCUGUCAAAUCAUCGAUUUCCUCACCCGUAAGAGGUAUAGGUGCUGUCCUAUGCUCUGACUUGCCAUCAAAUAACUUUUCAUCUGACCUAAACUUAUGAUUGGAUGAUAAGAACCUACGAUGUCCCAUAUAGCAAUAUUUGCUGCCCUUUUUUAAUUGUAGAGAACAAGUGAAUGAAUGGCACUCAGGACAAGCUACCUCACCCUGGGUAGCACACCCAUGAGUGUAGCCUAAACCUGGAAAGUCAUGUAUGGUGCAAAGGAUGGCAGCACGAAGAUCAAAUAUUUCAGACUUAGAAGCAUCAAAUGUCUUUACACCAUGAUAGUACAUAUCUACUAGAUCAUCUACCAAAGGUUCAAGAUAGACAUCCAUAUCGCCACCAGGUGCCUUAGGGCCAGGAAUGAGCAAAGAAAGGAUAAAAUUAGUCCGCUUCAUGCACAUCCAAGGAGGAAGGUUGUAUGGAAUCAAAAAGACUGGCCAAAUACUAUAGGUACUCCUUGUUGACCUAAAUGGAUUAAAGCCAUCAGUUGUUGCAGCCAAUCUAAAAUUUCGACUAUCAUCACCAAUUAGUGGAUGUUUGGAAUCAAAAUCCUUCCAGAAAAUAGCAUCCGCUGGGCACCUAAUCAAACCAUCUUUGGUCCGUUGUUCGUCAUGCCACCUCAUGUCAGUUGCAGUUUUAGAGGACAUAAAGUACCUUUGAAGCCUUCUUUUAAUAGGAAAAUAGCGAAGAACCUUUCUAGGAACUCUAUGUACCCUUUUCCCAUCAGGACUCUUCUUUUCUGAUUUCCACCUUGAAGUUUUACACUUUGGACAUUGAUUCUCCUUAUCAAAUUCAUUUCUGAACAGUACACAAUCAUUUUCACAGGCAUGAAUACUAACAUACCCAAGCCCAAUAGAUUUAACUAUUUUCUUAGCUUCAUUGAAAUUUUUGGGAAGUACUGAACCUUUGGGGAAUGCAUCACUAAGUAACUCAAGCACCAUGUCAAAACUUUUGUCACUCCAUCGCCCAAGAAGUUUGAUGUGGAGCAAUUUGACAAUAAAACACAAUUUUGAGAAGUUUUUACACCCGGGGUAUAGUUCUUUGUUGUCAUCAUCAACCAUCUUCAAAUAAGCCUUGGUAUCAUCAUCAACAUCCGUCCUAGGGUUGUUAUUGUCCUCAUUGUUCUCUUCCAACACCCCCCCAUCAUCUAAUCCACAAGCUAUGUCUCGCAAGAAAUUAGCUAAUUCAUUUUUUGCCGGUGAACUCUCUACUUCUACCUCCUCAAUAUUAGGGCUAGCGUGGCUAGAUUCUCCAUGAAACAACCAUGUAUGAUACCCCUCCAUGAAACCAUCACAUAUCAAAUCGUCACGUGCUUCUGUUGCUGUUCUCCAUUUAGAGUUCAAACAUAUCUUGCAAGGACAUAAGAUUUUGUUUCCAUUUGUUGAAUUAAUAAAAGCAAACUUUAUAAACUUGUCUAACCCCUGCAGAUACUCAUUUGUGUGCCUACAUGUAAUUGUUAUUUUUAGAUAUCAGAACAGUUCAUUGCAAAAUUAUACCGUUUAUGAGUUUGCAAAAAAGAAACUAGAUGUACCUAGGCUUAGACAACCAGGUUUUGUCCAUGAUGCAACCUUAACAUCAAAGUUGCCAAGUAUCUGAAUAUGGCCAGUGCGGUAGUGUUAGCUUUGCAUCGGUGAAGCGACAAUCAUUAUUCAAGCAAUAGAAGUACAAAACAAUAACCAUUCAAGCAACAAAUACACAUUCUUGUCCAGUUGUCUACUGUCACAAACAACUGCAUAUGAUUCAGAUACAGAGAAGGUAAUCUAGGGAGGAGUUGAUGCUUACUCGGGGCACAGAGACGGAGCUGCCGGAGUGGAGCAGAGAUGGAGCUUGGCCGGAGAUGGAGCCUGACAGCAGCAGAGCAGAGAUCCGGCAGCCGCACUGCAGAGGUCCGGCAGUAGCAGGCCCGGAGAUGGAGCUCCAGCAGCAGCAGAGCAGACGUCCGGCAGCAACAGGCCCGGAGAUGGAGCUCCGGCAGCAGCAGAGCAGGGGUCCGGCAGCAGCAGAGCAGAGGUCUCGCGGCAGCAGGAGCCCAGAGAUAGAGCUCCGGUGGCGGCAGGAGCCCGGCAAUGGAACCCCGCCGGCAGCAGGGAGCCCAGCUAUGGAACCCCGGCGGCAGCAGGGGAGACGGAUCCCCGGCGACAGCAGGGAGCCCGGAGAUGGGUCCCCGACGGNNNNNNNNNNNNNNNNNNNNNNNNNNNNNNNNNNNNNNNNNNNNNNNNNNNNNNNNNNNNNNNNNNNNNNNNNNNNNNNNNNNNNNNNNNNNNNNNNNNNNNNNNNNNNNNNNNNNNNNNNNNNNNNNNNNNNNNNNNNNNNNNNNNNNNNNNNNNNNNNNNNNNNNNNNNNNNNNNNNNNNNNNNNNNNNNNNNNNNNNNNNNNNNNNNNNNNNNNNNNNNNNNNNNNNNNNNNNNNNNNNNNNNNNNNNNNNNNNNNNNNNNNNNNNNNNNNNNNNNNNNNNNNNNNNNNNNNNNNNNNNNNNNNNNNNNNNNNNNNNNNNNNNNNNNNNNNNNNNNNNNNNNNNNNNNNNNNNNNNNNNNNNNNNNNNNNNNNNNNNNNNNNNNNNNNNNNNNNNNNNNNNNNNNNNNNNNNNNNNNNNNNNNNNNNNNNNNNNNNNNNNNNNNNNNNNNNNNNNNNNNNNNNNNNNNNNNNNNNNNNNNNNNNNNNNNNNNNNNNNNNNNNNNNNNNNNNNNNNNNNNNNNNNNNNNNNNNNNNNNNNNNNNNNNNNNNNNNNNNNNNNNNNNNNNNNNNNNNNNNNNNNNNNNNNNNNNNNNNNNNNNNNNNNNNNNNNNNNNNNNNNNNNNNNNNNNNNNNNNNNNNNNNNNNNNNNNNNNNNNNNNNNNNNNNNNNNNNNNNNNNNNNNNNNNNNNNNNNNNNNNNNNNNNNNNNCCCGAUGUAUUUUUUAGAUAUAUGUAUUUUUUAUGUAUGUUCAUAUAUGUAUGUAUGUAUUUUUUACAUGUUUUUUGUAUGUAUGUAUGUAUUUUUUCAAUUGUAAUGAUGUUUUAAAAAUACAUAUAUGCAAAAGUUAGAUUUUUAGAAAAGUUUGUAAAAAAUACAUCAAAGUUAGGAAAAUUUAGAAUGUGCUAAAUAUGUCAAAAAUGUCAAAAAUGAUGGUUAGAUUUUUGUGGUUGUAAAAGAGUUAAUGAUGUUAAUUUUUGUGGUUGUAAAAGAGUUAGGAAAAUUUAGAAUGUGCUAAAUAUGUCAAAAAUGUUUUUUUGUUCAUAGAAAGUUUUUUGUUCAUAUACAGAAAGUUUUUAUAUAUGACUAUGGAUAUAUGAGCAAUGAUGAUCCAUGGAUGUAUGCAUUGAUAUAUAUAUGAGAAACGAUGUUCAUAGAAUAUUUACCAAUUAUAUAUGUAUUUUUGUUCAUAGCAUUUCUUUCCAUUUAUAUAUGUAUGUGGCUAUAGAUGGAUAUAUAUGAGAAAUGAUGAUCCAUGGAAAAGUUUUAUAUAUGCAAAAGUUACAUUUUUAGAAAAGUUUUAUAUAUGUAGCUAGGAAAGGAAGAAGAAGAAAAAGAAGGAGAGGAAAAACGAAAAUAAGAAGAGGAAGAAAGGAGAAGAAGAGGAGAGGAAGAAGAGGAGAAAUAAAAAAGAAGAGGAAAAAAGAAGAAAAAGAAGAGGAGAAGAAGAAAAAAAAUAGAAAUAUCUAUUUUUUCUUCUUCUCCUCUAUUCCUUUCUUCUUCUCCUCUUUUUUUUCUUCUUUUUUUCUUCGAUCUUCUUCUCUAUUCCUUUCUUCUUCUCCUCUUUUUAUUUCUUCUUUUUUUCUUCAAUCUUCUCCUCUAUUAAUAUCUUCUUCUCCUCUCUUUAUUUCUUCUUCGUCUUCUUAUUUUUUAUCGGACAUGUCAUUGUCGAUAUACCCCGUGUCCCGAUAACUUCAACACGAGAGGUGGGGGGGGGGGUUCGACCUACCCCCUCCCCGAUAACAUUAUUUUCCCAUGUAUGUAUGUCGUUGUUGUCGAUAUAACCCCCUCCCGGAUAACUUCGACCGUGAUAACUUAUACCACGGGAGCACCCCCCCGCCCUCUCGCUCGACCAAAACUCUCGAGCACACCCAAACCCUAGAAAAAACGAUGUCGGUCUCCUACCCCCUCCCGCCGCGCCCCUACCCUUGAAGCGUUGCCGAGGCCACCCCAAACCCAGAAUAAGCUAGGUCUACGGUUGCACUAAUAUAUCCACCUGCUGUCAUGUUUGUGUAAUAAUUGCCAUGUUGUAAUAUUUGCAGAAACAAUGGAGCACGGACGAGACGAGGAAGCAGAAGAGGUGUUGGGGGACAUAAUCUUAGCCGGAGGUGAUAUCUUGUCGUAUCUUAAUGACAAUGAUGGUCUGGAAGAACAGGGUGAAGAAGCAGGCUACGGUGAUCGAAGAGUGGAGGAGGAAAGACAUGAUUAUGAUGGCUCCGGUGACCCAAAGCUGGUGCAAGAAGGAGCCCGUGGUGACGGCUCCGGUGACCCAAUGCUGGUGCAAGGAGGAGCCCGUGGUGACGGCUCUGGUGACCGAACAGAGUCCGGCCAGGUAAAUAUAUUAGUUAAGCCUGUGCUGACUAGCUAAUUGAUGCAUUCAUUGUUUUGGUAUGUACACAUAUUUAUUAGCCCUCCGGAUCGAGCACAACUUCGGUAAAGAGACGAGGCCCGAAGAGAAAGUUGCGCUCCGAUGAAAGGUUUGAGAUCACAGCAAUCGCGCGCGACGGCCAACCGAUUGAACCCAUCCGGACAAAGGAAGCAUUUGCUGCUCAGUGCGGGGUCUUGUUAGGGACAAGAUCCCGAUCAGCAUCCACCAAUGGUAUAAGCCUAAGAAGGAAGACCCUGAGGUGUCUUAUGUCAAUGAUAUGCAGAAAGAUGAUCUUUGGACUGAGCUGAAGGCAAAUUUGACCCUACCGCCAGAGGAGGAUCCGGAGAAGCCAGUUAAAGAGCAAUUAAUCAAGUCUCAUGCUCUUAAGAAGAUGGCAGACCUAUUCAGGAGGUGGAAGAAUGAGCUGAAAACGUUUGUCGACAAAGAAGAGACACCAGAACUCAUCAGCCGGUAUGAGAAGAUCAGAGAUCACUGGCCCGCAUUUGUGGCCCACAAGACAUCGGAAAAGAGUAAGAAGAUGUCAGCGACAAACAAGAAGAAUGCUGCGAAGAAGAAGCUUCACCAUCGCACGGGGUCAGGUGGCUACCUCAAAGCCCGACCUAAGUGGGCCAAGGCUGAGAAUGAUCUGCUUGAUAAAGGGAUCGAACCAGAGACAAUGAACUGGCCAGACCGUUGCCGGACUUGGUUCUUCGGGGCUGGCGGAAAAUUGGACCCUGUAUCAGGGAGGUGCGUUUGGAUGGACGAGCUUUUGAGAAUACCAGUCAAGAGGCUUCAGCACUAUAUCGAUGCAGCGCAGGAAGGGACGUUCGUUCCAGACAGAGAGAACGAUGAGCUCACAAUGGCCCUCGGGAAUCCUGAGCACCCUGGACGGACACGAGGCACGCCAGGCUCCGUUCCGUGGAAGGCUGGUUUUCCGGACGCAGGCGUUUACAAAAGCCAGGAGAGGAGGAAAAAAGUGGAGCAGACCCAAAUUCAGAAGCUGCACGAAAGGGUUCAAGCGCUAGAGGAACGAGACGCCAAUCGACAUGCCCAAACUACCCCCGAAGCUACCCCGCCAUCUUAGCGGAGAAGCAGCGUGGCUUCCACUGAGCUGCUUCAGCCGGAGCAUGUCUUGACGGCUCCUGCUAGCUACCCCGUGGAUGCUAUCACGGAGUCUCAACAUUGCCAUCUUAUGACGCAAUGGCAGAACUUCAAAGUCAAGGCGGCUGUUGGCUCUAUUUUACCUCCUGAACCCGG
This 76046-nucleotide long non-coding RNA is filed under the name Triticum aestivum (bread wheat). Its description in RNAcentral is "long non-coding RNA (TAES_LNC012854)". Lineage: Eukaryota; Viridiplantae; Streptophyta; Magnoliopsida; Poales; Poaceae. The record is from RNAcentral.